CACCACUUACUGGUGAAUUUCUAACAAAUGGUGGUUUCCCUGGUGGCCUGACUGGUCUGGAUCUUGUCAAAAAAUAUGCUGACUCUAAUUUCUUAAAGUUCUUCAUCAAUCGAGAACUUCUAAAAAGAGGACUUUCCUGUGAUUCUACAAAUGUAUCUGAGUUCCGACCUUCAUUGAGAUUAUCAUCACAUCCCUCUGUGUUGAGAAUCUGAAGACCUGAGCAAAAUCGUUUUCGGGAACCCAAGCUAGAAGAAUCGUCAAUAUCAUAAAUGUUCAGGGGAGGGAGAUUUGAUGCUAAAUGAUCACCCUCUCCUCUUUCUUUACAUGUGCUUCCCUUUUUCUUAAGAAAAGUUUGAUGCUUUGUGACUUCUUCAAUAUCAGAACAUAGAAGAGAAACAGUACCUUGCAACUUAUUAGCUGCAUCCUGCUUUCUUUGUUGCAUUGGUAAAAGGAAUUCCAGCAACAAUUCCUGCUCCUCUAUUCUCUCUCUAAGCUGUAUUGCUGCUUCACGCUCUUCCAAAUAGUCUCUUGGUUCAUUAAGAAACUCGCUUUGCAGCAAUUCUCUGUCAUACAAUACAUGAGAGUAAGACAAUGAAAAUUUGAUUGAACAGAAAUCAGAUGAAAUGUCAAUCAAAAAAGGUACUUUGCUCAGGGUGCAGUAACCAUAAGCACACAAUGUACUUGUUUGAAGACCUCGAAAAAACUCAUCCACAUAUUAAGGCAGAUGCUACCAUAAAAUGUAAAGUAAACAAAGGUGCAGGAAAUUAACAUUCACCCCAUUUUUGGCCGACUACUUGGCUCAGGGUGCAGUAACCAUAAGCAAAAUGAAGCUUCUUUUGGCCACUUGAGCAGCAAUUGAGGAGGAAGAACCCGAUGUCUGAGACUAGACAUAGUUCUGCUCUUGUCUUCCCUUGAAGUGAAUGGGCUGAACAGCUGUUCACAAGUAGAACUAUAUCACAUCAAUGUAGACAGUAAACAGCAGAAGCUCUUAAGACAUUAUUGCAGGCCAUUUAGAUAAUGAAGAACUUUCUGCUUGAAAUAGAAGUCAAAAGUUCAAAACACAUAUAAGAAAUGGUUUUGAAUCCACUCUAAUUUUGAUCGUUAACAUCAUAAAUGCAACAUUAUCAUUACGAACCUCGAAAAGAAGAACUCCCAAUUGGUAGAUGUCUGAAGCACAAGAGCUUGGUGAACCAGCAACCUCUUCAGGGCUGGUAUACCAACUGGACUCCAUCAGCAAUAUUUGCUUCAUUGGAAAUGGUUGUUUCCUUUCUUCUUCAUGUUCAACGUUCCUCGUACCAAGGACUUUAUUUUCUUCUGUUUCUUCCCCUAAUGGUAAAUCUGCUGCAUAAAGCGAGCUGGACUGCAUGCAACUGGCUUCCGAUAAAGCAUUUGUUGGAGUAGAUGCAGGUAGAAAAUCUUCACUUUGUAACCUACUUCUCUGCUGGCACAUGUCAUGGGAGAAAGAAGAAGCAUUUUUAACCUCCACAGUUUGUCUAUUCAAUCCAUCAUCCAAAGAAUCAGACCCAGAAUCCGAGUAAGAAGCGGACUCGAUGAAGGAGACAUGGUUAAAUGAUGACAUGACAAAGCAAGAAGGCCGGACAUUGUGAACAACAAUUCCCUGUGAAUGUGCCACAUUUACAAUUUCGACUAUUUGCCUAAAUAUGUGCAAACAUUCAAAUUCAUCAACAGACCGUUCUGGUUUGUUCAACCAAUGCCUCAAGCUAACAUCGUUCCACUCCAUGUUUUGGACAAAAUGGUCAACUGCAGCUUCAUCCUCACAAACCCCAGAUAAAGUACCAGCCUGGUUUUUUAGGUUUUGACGAGCCAGAACAACCCUAUCAGUCUCCUUUCUAAACCCAGAGUUGUAAGAUGCGGAUCUUAGAUUCCUGUUGGUGACUACUGAAGUAUUAAAUCCCCUAUAACUACCAGACUUCUGCCAAGCAGACUCAGAUGAGCCCUCCAUGGUUACCCCCCUUGGGCUGCAUGUAAGCCAGAACAAACGCAUCCAAGAAAUGGAGGAAUUCGCCUGCUACUACCACAUUCGCUAACUUCCACCAUUACCAUCUUCAAUCAAUACCUUAUUUCACAGAAAUAGCAAAAAGAACCUUGCUUCUGAUCAAGCCAAAGCUCAAUAACUCAGCUCCUCGAAUAAAAAUACUAACCCUUGCAGGGCAGCGGACACUAGAAAAUAAGAUGAAAUCUUUUAGCAAGCACACUUCUCCUGAGACAACCGCAACCAGCCUAACAUCAAUAAACCAAUAAGAAAAUUUAAAAAAAGUAGAGAAAAAUCAACACUUACAUUAUACCACACACAUUUUUCCUUUCCUUUCUUCAUCCACCGGAAUUAUAAAACUAAGUCCUCACACGUGCACUGUUCAACACCAAAACAACACAAGCACCAGCACAAAAAAAAAAAUCAAAGACAAGUACAAUAAUAUCCAGAAAAGGAGAGAAACUGAAGAUACCCUUUUUACAAUAUAGAAUUAGAAACACGUACCCAGAGGUUUCAUCAAAAAAACAACACAUGCAUCAGAACCAACAAAAGCCCACACACAAUAAUAUUAUAUACAGCCAUUUAAAAGAAGAGCUAGAGAGAAGGAGGGAGGGAUAAGUACCUGUAGCAGCACCAAGAAUGGAUAUUUCUGAUCCUGCUAGACCAAAAGAGAACCACACAACACAACAAGACUUUAGUUACUACACUCCACUAAACACUACAGCCUCAUAAAUUCCCUCAUUUUUCCCUCACAACUUCAAAAAUAAAAUCAAACAAAACCCCUCCACAAAAGAAAAAAUCAACAUGUUUCAAAUAAAAAAAGGAAAAAAAUACCUCUCUCUCUCUCUCUCUCUCUCAUGCUCUGUUUCACUCUAUAUAUUAUAUAGUUCUUCAUGAAAUUAUUAUGAUAUUCUUUCUUUUUUAAGCCACAAGCUCAUGGUUCGCUCUUUGGCUCAUCUCCCCGCUUUAUUCCAUUUGAGUUACGUGGCACCACCAUAGCCUCAACCUUGUUUGUUUAUUUCUUUGCAAAGAAGCCAAAAGGGAUGGUAAAUUUGAAAACUUUGUGGGCCAUCAGUGCCAAAAAAAAAAAAAAACUGUUCUUGAUGAAAAUAAAGAUCUUGGCUUUCUAGAAUUGGAAACUCAAGGUGAGAACAUGAAAAGCAAAUAAGAGCAUGCCUUACAGGUGUGAAUCAUUAAACUAAUCUGAUGAUGUGAUUCUUGUUAGAACAGCACGUAAGAAACAAUUAAGAAUACUAUAGUGGGCAGUUCUUGUUUCUUUAAUCCGAUUAGUGACACUAAAAAUAAUAUUUUACAAGAAACACUCACAUGAUAAAAAAGAAGCUAAUAAACUAUUGAUUAAUGUAAUGAAGCACAAACAAUGAAGCUAAAAAAAACAAAUAAUGGUGAUAAAAUCAACCUUAAAAUGUGGGUUUGAGUUUUGUGGGGCCCGGGCAUAAAAGUAUACAAGGAAGGAAGGGAAGAGGAUAAUAAUAAUAAUAAUUAAGGAUUGAUAAGAGAGGAUGUGGACUAGUGUCAGGUAGGACUAAUUAUUUUUGGUUUGGUUCGGUUUUUAUCUAUAAAAAUCAAUCAAAUCAUAAAAAAAUAGACCUGGAAUCAAACCGAAACCGGCCCAAACCGACCGGUUUCGAUUUGAUUUUUGCUAGCCAAAACCAAAAAACCUAUGUUAUUUUUUGGCUUUGUAAUGAGCUUCGUAAUUGGUUUUUAACGGAUUUCUGAUGGGCUUGCAAUUAAUGUUGAUAUUGUCUAAUUUUCAUUGAAGAUUCAAAAGCAUAUUUAAUUUUUUUACCACUAAAUAUUAAUUUGUAUUAAAUUGUUAUUGUCAAUCUUAUGUAUAUUGAGUUUUUUUACCACUGAAUAUUCAUUUAUAUGAAAUUAUUAAUGUCAAUCUUGUGUUCAAUAUAUUUUUUACCUUCCUAAUAUUUUUAUGCUUCUGAAAAGUUUAAAUAACACACUCACAAUCACACACCAAUAAGUUAAAAUUCAAAUUACAAAUCAUUGCCUUUAAAGGGCUUAAAGAAAAAAUAACAAAUAAAACUAUCAUAAAACACUCCAAGCCAAAAAAAAAAAAAUCUUCAUUUGCACAUCGUCUCAAUAAAAAAAAACUUCAAGACCAUUGCAUUUUGAUUCCUGAAAUUCAUAAUCUAGAAUUAUAACAUGAUAAAUUAAAUUAGAAAAUAAAAAAAAUAAUAUUUUUACCAUAUGUUUUCAAUAAAUGCAUCACAAUUUGUGAACUAAUUAUCAUCCGUUGCUAGAUGUAACUUUCCAUCAAAUUCUACAAAAUAAAAAAUUAAACAUGUUAGAAUAAAAAUGUGUUAAUUAUUAAUAAAUCAUAAAACAAAAGAUGUAAGUUUUUAAAAAACAUUACCUGAUCCAAGGUUUUUGUAGGUUUCAAAAUCAUUCAUCAAGGUUGUAUUAUCAAUUGGAAUUGGACCAUGAUGCAACCAAUUUUGACAACAAAUAAGUGUUUGAACUGUUGCUAGAGAUAGAGAACUUCGAAAUUGGUUGAGUAUACGACCACCUGUGCUAAAGGCUGAUUUAGAAGCCACUAUGGAUAUAAAAAUAGCCAGAACAUGUUGUGCAACUUUUGAAAGUAUCUUAUAUUUUGAAGAAACAUUAAUCUUCCACUAACCUAAAAUAUCUAAUUUAUCAUUAUUAGGAUCCUCACAACCAUCAACCAAAUACGUCUCAACCUCAUUUCUAUUUUUCACACUAUCUUCCUCCUGUAAGUGCCUUUUGAAUCGAGGUAAAGUGUUAACAUCUACCUCCACAUCAUCAAUAGCAUCAUUAACAUCUUAUUUAUGCCUAUUAUCAUCCACCACUUCAUCAGCUUUCAAAUAAAACUCAUACAAGCUCACCAAAUUAUCUUUCAUUUUUUUUUGUUAGCAAUUGUGCUUUGUUAUAAUCAUACAACUCACCAAAAAAAAAUUUCACAUAUGUUAACUUAAGACGUGGAUCCAAAACAUUAGCCACAUACAAUAAAAAAUUUUGAUUUGCUUCACAACCCCAAUACUUCUCAAACUUACUCAUCAUGUUCAUCGUCAUUCCACUCAAAAGAUUAUCUCUACUUUUACAUAAUUGCAACAAGUUUGUAUGCAUGUAAAUCAAUUCAUUGAAGAAUGAAUUUGAUGUGACAUGCAAUGAGCCAGAAAAUUUCAAUGUAAUCAUGUAAAAGAUCUUUAAAAACUUCAGCAAAGUUCUAACAUUUUUCCAAUCCUCCAAACUAGGUGGUCCUAUGUUUUUUUUAUUCUCCUUUGAAUCAACCUCCAAAAAGUAACUCAUAUACAUAGGUUCACUUUGACCUAACCUCACAAACACCUUUUCAAACUUUUCAGCAGCUUCUAGCAUAAGAUAAGUUGAAUUCCAUCGAGUUGCAACAUCCAAAUACAAUGAUUUCUUACACUCUAUAUGCAACUUUUCUGCACACUUCUUAAAUGCAAGUAGCCUAGAAGAUAAAGAUCUCACAAACCUAAUUGCAUUUCGAAUCUUAACAACCAAAACAUCAAUCUCUUUCAAACCAUCACACACAAUGAGGUUUACAAUGUGUGCACAACAUCUAACAUGCAAAUGUUCAUUUGACAAUAUAUUAGUUAGCCAAUCUUUCAUCACAUUCUUUAAAUAUAAAAUAGUAACACUAUUAGAGCUUACAUUGUCUACUGUAACAGUUAAAAGUUUAUCAAUCCCCCAAUCUAACAAACAAUUCUCAAUAACUUGACCAAUUGUUUCACUCAUAUGAUUGGAAACUUGACAAAAAUUCAGAAUUUUUUUAUGCAAAUUCCACUCACUAUCAAUCCAAUGAGUCGUUAAGGACAUAUAGUUAAUGUUUUGGAUUGAUGUCCAUGUAUAUGUUGUUAAGCAUAAUCGUUGACCCUUAAGAGCUCUCUUUAAUCUUUCCUUCUCUUCAACAUAAAGUUUUAAAUAAUCUCUCAUAAUAGUGAAACGAGAAGGAAUGUCAAAUCUAGGCUGCAAGGUCCUAAAAAAUAAUCUAAAUCCCUUACCCUCAACAAAAUUAAAAGGCAACUCAUCAAUUAUAACCAUUUUUACUAGUGCAUGUCUACAUUUAUCAUAAUCAUAACCUAUUGCCUUAAGAGUUCCCACACUUCGAUCUCCUGAUUCACCCCCCGCUUUAUUAGGUUCUAAUACCAAAAGUUUUUGCUUCUUAUCAACCACAAAAGGAAACUUUUUGUAUACUUUUAAAUGACUCCGCAUAUUACUUGUCCCAUUAAUAAUAGUAUGACAUGCAUAACCCUUUUCACAAUAAUUACAUUCAGCUCUAGGGAUUGUAGGAUCACCAUCAAGUUUGGUAAAAUGAUAUGCUUGGCAAUCAGACUAUAGUUUACCUCACCCCCACUCCCAUCAAAAUUCAAAUGAGAAGCAUGUUAUUCUGCAUAUGAUCUGCUUGGAAAACCGUAAAUAGAAGUGUUACCCCUGUUCAGGGAGCUAUUGCUACAUCAUACAACAUGUUUACUAUUUGCUAAGGAGCUUCACCAUUUAAAAAAAAAACAGUAAAACCUAUAUCAUCCAUUCAUUUCAGAAGCAGUGGAAUGGUAAGUGAUAUUAUCACACUACAAACCAGAACUAGGGCAUAAAACCAACACAGAUAAACAUAAAAAGGAAAUCUCAAAACUGAUAAAAAAAAUACUAAAUGAAUAACAUAAAAAAAAGCUGACCAAAAACUGGUAGAUGAUAUGGAAAAUGGAAAUGCAAGUUUUAGCUGCUAGAUUUCUAUGUUAUACUUAUUUCAGGUUUUAACUUAUAAUCAUAGGUUCUUUAGACAGCAGGUACAAAUUGUCGAAAAAGGUGUUUGACUCAUUUUUUAUUUUCUAUCAAUUCUUAAAAUUUGUGUCCAAGCUAAUUGACAGCUUCUGUAGAGCUUAUUUGAGUUAUUUUUGUUUUCAUUUUUUGCAGAUUAUGUUUUAUGAAGCCUUGAAAGAUUUGGCAGGUUAUCUUAAAGACUUAAACAUCAUUUUUCUUGUGAUGAAACUAAUUUCGUUCACAGAAUCACAGUAAUAAUAGCCAUGAGGAGACACAACACUAAGCAGGCAUGAAUAAACAUUGAACAUAAAAAAAAACCAAUACUAAAUACGGAUGAUUAUACACUAUCAAUAAUUAAAUAGAAAUUCCUAACAAAUUAGUAAAGCAAUUUGAUAAUCAGUAAUUUCAACAAUUUUUUUUUUCUAACAAUAUUGAAUCAAAGAAGGUCAGUAAUCAGUAUCCAAAUUAACUUGAAUAAUCUAAAAAACACAUGAAUAAAUUCUGACAUAUAUGAAACAACAAGCAGAAUGCCUUCAACAGAAUCAGCACAACAACUGUAUCCUUAUUCUUUGACCUCUACAUUGAAAAAAAAAACAAAUACAAUAAAUUAAAUAGAUGAUAAACAGAUAAAUCUAGGCAAAAUAUGAGCAGCCAUUAGUUAAUUAAUUAAAACGGAAAAAACAAAAUUAAAACUCACUGCUAUAGAACUUAUUCGGUUUCGGAGUAAUGGAGAUUGUGGAGUACCAUGUGAUAUUGUGUAGAUGAAGAGGAACGUCAAUCUAUUUAUGAGAGGCUUGACUGGUUUCAAAUGAUGGAAACACAAACUAUUUUGGAUCUGUGUAACCGUGUUUCUAUUUUCUAAGUCUAAAGAGACUAAAAAGGGAGAGGCGAGAGGGUGCGGGUGCUCUGGUUAGGGUUAGUGGCCAGGGAGAGGGGAGACGGUGAGGGCGAGGGAGAGUGUUACUAUGUUAGGGAAUUAGGGUUAGCGGAGAGAGGCGAGAGUGGCAUCGUUUUCUAUUUAUAUCGUCAACACAAAACACUGGUUAGAGACCUUUUUUUGAACCGGUUCGGUUCGGUCCGGGUUAACCGAUUCCUGCAUUACAAAACCGAACCGAAUCGGGAUUUUUUCUAACUAUUCUAAUCGGUUUAAUCAGUUUUUUUUCUCGGUUCGGUUUUUUUUUGCUCGGUUUAUUCGAUUUUCUGUUUUUUUUGCACACCUCUAGUGUCAGGUAAUCUAAAAGGAUGUUCGGCGCAGUUUUUGUUUUUAAAUGUUUUUAAAAAAACAAUUUAUUCAAAAAAAUAUUAAAUUAAUAUUUUUUAAUGUAUUAAUAAAAAAAUAAAAAUAAAAAUAUUUUAAUAAAUUUUCAAAAUAAAAUUAUUUUAAAAAAUACAUUACAUACCCAUCUCAAUUUGAUGUAAAAUUAGGAGCAAGCGAUUUUUUUAUUUUUUUUUUCAAUGUAAAAUUAGGAGCAUGCGAUCCUUCCUCAUAACAAUUAACAGUGGUAAUGUUUGUGGUCCCUACAUCUGGCGGCUAUUAGCACGAUACUAACCAAGUACUCGAAUUCGCUGCUGGGAGGAUUCCAUUCCAAUAACAUGCAAACAUUAUGAAUGCAUUUUCUAGAAUAAUUAAAAAAACAAAUUAGAAAUUAAGAAGUUAAUAUAUGCGACGAAUCACUUUUUUAUCGGUAUAUUUUUAUUAAAAAAUUUCGGAUAAAAAAUAAUUACAAAUAUAAUUUUUUAGGAAAACAAAGCUUGGCAUAAAUAAAUUCAGGAAAAAAGUUAUCAAUGUGAAAAUAAAAUUAAGAAGAAAAGUUAUAAUUAUAAUUGUUAAUAUAAAUUCAUUUUUUUUCUAUUAAUGCAUUUUUAAAAAAAUAUUUUUUUUUUGUUAUAUAUAUAUUGUUUAUUGCAUACAAACUGCAAGCAAUUAAAUUCAAUAUUUAAAAAAUAUUAAUGAUUUAAAAAAAUAUAUUAAAAAAAAUCUUUUUAAUAUUGCAUGGAAAGUGAAAGCAAUUAAAUUCAAUAUUUAAAAAAAAAUAUUUUAAUCAAAAUCUCUUUCCAUUAAAAGAUUUAAUGAUUUAAAAAAAAGACUUCUUUUUUACAAAUUUUUUUUAUAAGAAGUAAUGUUUUUUAAAUAAGAACUUAUUAUAAUCUUAAUAAUAAGUGUUAAUAAAAAAUAAUAAAUUUAUAAUUUUGACAUGAAUGUAUUAAAAAAUAAUAAUAAUAAUAAUAAUAAUAACAAACUUGAAAACAUAUAUAAAACAAAUAGAUAUUUCAUUUAUAUUUAGAAAAUCAUGCACAUUAAAUUUAUAUAUAAUUAUUCUGAGAUAAAUUAUUAAUAUUAUAAUAUAAUAUACUAAUAUUAUUUGAAAAUAAUGAUAUAAUUGGAUUAUUAUUUAAACAUCAUUUAAAUAAAUUUAUUUUAAAAUAAUCUAAUUAUAAAAUGCUAAAAGAGAUAAAAAAAAUACAAGGCUAAGCAAGCACGGGCUAGAAGAAUAAGCCUACAUGUUCGGCCUACAUGAAAACCUAUAGGUUCUGGGGUCUAGAAACUCAAGUUCGCAUGUCUGAUUUUUCUAAAAAAAAACACGAUGUUCACUUUUAUUUUUAAAAAAUUAGACAAAAAAUAUGUUUUUUGACAGUCAAAUUACACAUUAUUUGUCUACUAUUUUUUCUAGUCAUAAAAAAUGUCUUCGUGAUUGAAAAAUUAGGAUUCAAAAACUUGAACCCCAAAAACCUAGAAUCCAACCAUUUUCCAUCCAAAAAUAUAAAGAAAAAAAAACAUUUAAUGAACCUCCAUUACCUCGAUUUUAAUAAUAAAAUAUAUUUUAAUUAGUUUAAAAAUUCUAAAUUAAAUCAAAUUAAAAAAAAAAAACUCAUGCACUGAAAAUGGCCACGCUUCUUAGGGUUUGGACUAGGAUUUGAGACUCAUGGUUUCUUGUUGGUCCACUUUGAGUAUGAGUUCUCAUAUUUUGUAGCUUCCCUUCCCUUGAACAUUCAUUCUUGGUAAAACAUGUCAUGAAUUUAUAUAAUAAAAACAAUUUUUAUUUUUUAUUUUAUUUUUUAUCUGUCACGUAACUAAGUUUCAUCCUCUUUCUCGUCUCGUCCGUUCACCAAACGCCUCCAUGGUUAUUUCCAUGAUCAAUAAUCCAUUGUCUUUUAAACAACCAUUAAUUUUAUUUGUGGUGGGCAGUUACUGCUAAACAUUCAGUGAACUUGAAAUGUGUUUUCAAGUUUAAGUUUAUUUAGGCCGUCUCUGGACCACUGGUCCACCUUCCUAAAUAUAGACCAAAUUAACAUGAUGUGAAGAACAGAUCCCAUUGUGAACAUGAUAAUCAAAUCCACUUUGAAGGUCCCCCUCAAAGUUUUGUGAUUUUCGAUAAGAUUCCCAGUAGAUGCACAGAAACCCAGAAACCCACAUACAUUUCAUCAAGAAAUACCUUAGAAAGGUCUAGAGGAACAUUAAUCAGUGGCCUCACUGUGUGUGUGUGUGAAGGAGCCAUGGUUACGCUCAACUCUUGGAAAGACCAAUUAGUCUUGCUUCGAUCGUUCUUUGCAUAAGACCAAUAUCCGGCUUCCUUGGCAACCAAAGAAGAGAGUGCGCGUUCAUGACAUGUUUAUCAUUAAUAUCAUUGAAUUCUUGAACGUCGAAUUCAAUGCCUAAAACAUGGUUGUUGGGGGUAACCAUCAUUGGUGCUGUUCAAGAAACCAAGAUGCCGUUGUCAAGAGGCACCUUCAAUACCUAGAGAAGGCACGAGAAUGAAUGCAAAACCAUGACCAGGGGGGGAAUUGUUGUAAGGGGUGAUGGAGAAGGUGAAAGAGGACGAGAAUGACAGGAGCUUUGAGGAGUUCGGGUAUCUUAUGGGAAUCCUUGUAGAGGCCUCUACCACCAGAAAAUGUGAUGUCUCCGGUGAGGGAAAGCGUGCCAGAUUGUAGCUCUGCAGUGCCAUAAAGUAACAAGCUCGAAGAGCUGAAACUGUAACUCGACUGCUAUUGUAAAUUGGAGAAAGGAGUUAUUUAAGAAGAAUAGUAGCACAUGGUGGAGCCCGAAGCUUCAAGAACUGGGUUCGUUACUGUCAAGUGCCAUCCAUCACCGGUCUUGUAAUUGCAACUUAGUGCAUGCACCUCCUUGUUUUGGAAGGAUAAUAACGCACUCAGCAGAUACUCUACAUCUUGGGUAUGGUGGAUGCAACAUUUGUCUUUCCACACCGUGGAAUAAUUUCACAUCAUCCAGAUACUCUACAUCUUAUGGCUAAUACAAAUGCUCUCCAAGAAUGGUCAAUAAUUUUGAGAUUGCAGUGAUAGUGGAAAGUAAAUACAUGUGAUAAAUUGCAGAGGGGAGAUUUAUCAGUGAGCUAUAAUCUUGUAGCUAAAAUGGCCACUAGCUAUCUUUCUAAGAACAUAUACAAAAACCCCAACCAACGGUUUUUAACUCAUAUUUCACAUAAGGAAACCACCAAUCAAAUUACUCUUAAGAGUCCCAGCAAUACUUCUCAUGUGGGGCUUACCUCAUCGACCUGAAACAAAUAAUGAAUUGGCUGAUAUUUGGUAGCUUUCAGCCUGGACUUUUCUAACCCUUGCCUUGUCAAAGCGUGCUCGUCUAACAGCUUCUUGGAUCUGGCGAUCAUGAUCCUUCAGCAUCUGAUCCAUGUUCCCCGAUGGAACUAUCAAUGGACCAGAAUAGUGGAUUUUGUGAGCCUUUGACCCAUAGCCAAGCUGGAUCCAAAUUAACAAGAACCAUGAAUCAGGAAACACACAAAAAAAAGGCUCCUCAGAAUUCAGGAAACAUGAAAUUGUAAAUCAAUCAACUUAGAAAAGACGGUUUAUAAACAACUUGCAUGAUAUGAUGCAGACCAGGACAAAGCAGCCAAGUGGUUAAAAAAUUCACUGAAAGGUUAAGCAAAAAAGCAAAAAAAAAUAAACAAACAACGAAAUAAAAGAAAACUGAAUUGUGAAGUGACUUACAAGGACAGGAUCUUUACUGUUAUUUCUCCCAUCUUCCUUUUGGUGGGAACCUGCAACACCCUGUGACAGACGCUGUGGAUCCUGUUGGGCAAAGGAUUCUGAGGUUUCCUUGAAGGAUCCUGGAAACCGUGCCAUUAGUUUUGGAACUUCCGGUUGUGAUAGGCCAGACCUUUCUCUGUGAUCUUCAGAUAAUAAACUCCUCCGCGCCGCCUCUAAGCUUGAAAUUGUUGACAGGUCAGCCCCCGUGUAAAUCUUAGGAGCAUCAUCGGGGUUUCUGCCAGCCUUUGCCCAUCCAGAACGGUGAGACAGUGGCCCAGAAUGUGAGGCUCUCUUAUGCUGAUGACCCUGAGGAUCCAUGUUUGAUUCUGCAGCUUGUGAUGGUCUAGGGGGAUCAAUUGGAAAGCCAGAAGCAACUUCCUCAGGAUGGGGAUUAAACUUCUCACUCCGGCUCUUGGAAUUUGGACGACCAUGUCUUUUCUGUAAUUAGAGCGCAAUCCAUUGAUAUAAAUUUCAUUAGUAAAAUCAAAUUUAAUCAAAUGGAGUGCCAAAAAAUAAAGGGAGUCAACAGUAAAAGAGAUAAUUCAUGAAAAUAGAACAGCAAGAAACAAUCAAUUGUUUAGGUAAUAAUGCUUAAAAGAGGGCUGGAGCAGCUCAAAAGGACAGUAGUCAGAUGUAGUUUGAUAAAAAAAAAAAGUAUGACUUGCUGCUUUCAAGGCAUAAGGAAGAUGGAGAGUGCGAGAGAGAGGACAAAAGAAAGAAACUAGAUAAGAUUUCUUGUGUCUCACAAAGUGCCUUUUGUACAAAGCUGUUUUCUGUAGUGGAGAAUUGCAAUUUCCAUGUGAUCAGAAUGGCAAGAUGGCACAUUACUUUAUACUUCAUUGUUCUGAGAAGAGUGCAAUAAGAAGUGUUCUAAGACUUCGUGUUAUGACUGGCUUGUUUACUAGUUUCAUCUAUAACAGAGCUAGCUUUAAAAAUAACUUCCUUUCUCUUCUGACCAAUCUUUCAACUCAGCAAUUCUCUGAACCUCACCACAUGGCCCAGCAAGCCUACAUACCCAUCUCCUAAUCACAAUACUUCCCCAACCGCACACACACACAUGCAAAAAAGUGUCCUGAGAGAGCUAAGGUUAUCUUAAAGAAAUCACCUGCAUUGAUAAAACUAGCUCAGCAUUGGCAUCAGGUGCUGGAACAGCUCGAGAUUCUCUUUGCCCUCUUCUUUCCAUGUCAGGUUUCUGGCCCUUGCUUCCUGCUGCUCCUUGUCUGUUUGUGUGAACAAAAAAUGGGAUUGUUAGCAAACUACACUACAUUUACAAGUCAAGGAUUCCAUCAGUGAUAGAAGCACGAAGGAUAGUUUAGUGGAUCAGUAAGAAACACACAAUAAGCAAUAUGAGCAAGGGCACUAAGGCAACUGUCACAACCAAAAUACAAAAUUAUGUAAACAGACACUGCAUUCAUCUGAUUCAAAUUGAUUCCUACUUCAACUAUUUUUUCUCUUUUCUCAACUAGUGCACGCAACUUCUAUAUUUUAACAAUGCCAUUAACUGCGGCCAACAUGCCAAAAACGAAAUCUUUUAAAGCUUUUUUUCCGGGCCUUUGCCAGAAGCCUUCCAACAAAAGAUUAAAUGAACAAUAAAUUGGAGAAAAACUUUUUUUCUGUUCUUUUACAAUGUUUACCUUCUAGCUUCUUCAUCUCGCAUUUUUGCAUCAAACUCUUUGCUAGGAGGAUAAUCAGGCAAACUUGAAGGAUCACAAGGAAGCGGCUUGGUCGUAAAGAACUUUAAACAAAACUAAACAAGUCAAAUACAAAUUAACAGAAAGCAAGAGAGAGAAUUGUAAAAUAGAACUAUAAAUACUAGAGCCAACCUCAGCCAGCCAUGAAGAUUAUACUCAUCUUAUGAUUUAUUUAUUUGUCUAAAAAGAAAAGGUUAAAUGAACACUUGCUACCAACUGCUUUGGACCAAUAUGUUACAUUAAAUGGAUGGUAUUUCUCCAAAAUUAUGUUAAGAUUACAAAAAAAAUAGCUGUGCUGCAUAAGAAGCUAUAAUAUCAAAUAAGGAACUCAAAAAUAAAAAUAUACGAUCAGUUACCAGAGCUACAUCAAAAAGGUUGACAAAUUGCAUGGUGAAAAGAAAACACAAAAAGAACAUACACACUCUUGUACAAGAUGCAGUUUUUUUUUCAAAGAACAUGUUACAUAGAAGGAAGCAUAGGGAAAUGAAGGACGGUUCUCUUUUAAUUGAUCACAGAAAAAAGAAGACAUACACAAAAAGAAGAAAUAACAUAUAUAAGAAAACAUACACAGAAAGAAAACAUCACAGAAAAAAUAAAUAUAUAAGAUCAGUUAACUGAGCUACGUCAAAAAGGUUGACAAAUAGCAAGGUGAAAAGAAAACACAAAAAGAACAUGCACACUCUUGUAUAAGAUGCAAUUUUUUUUUUCAAAGAGCAUGUUACAUAGAAGGAAGCAUAGGGAAAUGAAGGACAGUUCUCUUUUAAUUGAUCACAGAAAAAAGAAAACACUCAUCAACCACCAACUAAAAUUCAAAACUGUUCAUGGUUGUCGAAAAUUCACAAACUAAAUGUGAUACACCAAAAUAUACAAAGUGCAUAAAAGAGUGAAAUUGUAGGAGUCUUCGAGUGAGAUCAAGGGACAGAAAAUAAAUCCUAAAAGCAACACAGCAUUUGGCGACAGAUUAUUGAUGAAAACUCAACCCCGUAUAGUUGCAGGCUAGCAGUGACAAAAUGUGAUUAACAGAAACACAAUCACCAUUGAGAAAACUGGGCUUGGGUGCUUUUGUGAAGAAACAAAGUGGAAUGAAUCAAAGGAGCAGCCACAAAAGUUUGGUAAAGUUGAUUAGUUGUGGAAAAAUACAAUGAAGCAUAAUAGAGAGAUCUGAAACCUAAUAUAUGCAACGAGAUGGCUAAAGACCUGUCACAAUCUAAACCCCUUAUGAUACAACUUCAGAGUGGUGUGAAUUGCCUGCUAUUGUGUCUUUGCUGAUGGCACCAGGUGAACUUGAAUGUUUAACAGGAUUUACCUCCGUCCAAUUACAUAAACACAAACUCUUCCAGUGACUUUUAGAUUGCAACAACAUGGUAUCACAUGAGUUGGAAGGAAAACAGACUUCAGUCUCAAAAUGUAUUUCAGUGACAAUAAUAACAAAAAUCCUAGACAAAAUUAUUAGAAAGAUCGAAUUAAAAAUGAAAGAAAUGUUAAUGAGUGAUUUACUUAUUAGGUAAAAAGAAUUGAAAUAUAUGCACUAUCAUGUGUAGCAAUAUAGAUCUUCUAAUUGAAGCCAAUAUGUAUCUCUGAAUCAAAAAAUACCAAGAAGACCAUAAACCACUUUCCAAUGUAACACCAAAUCCCCCCACCCCCAAAGGGACAAAAAACACUCACAAAAAGGGAAGGGGAAUUUGAGAUACAUAGUUCAUGGAUACCUCAUACCUCACUCCUCAGAGCAGAAGCUGCAGAUCCACGAUCUACAGGAUCAAUGGCGAGCAGGGUCUCCAUAAGAGCUAAAGCUGGUGCUGGGAAUUCCUUAAAUGUUUCUGCAACACAGCGUCUAUAAGGCUGCUGAGGCUUAAAGAUAGUCGCAUGAGGCAACUUUGAUUUUCUCCAAUAAUCUUCAGAAGGUGAGCCACACAGCUUGAAAAUUUUAUGCAGCUGCUCCACCUACAAGGCAGAGGCAUGCAAACUAAUCAUCAACAUUUUAAGUAGCUGCACUAAUGUUUUUUAUGACACUUACAUAGAUUAUAAGAAAGCAGAAAAGGGAUACGGCAUCUUGUGAUAAUUAUUCUCUCUUUCAAUCUUUUCUUUUUGAUAAAUCCUUUUUCUUUUUCAUAUUAUAAGAAUUUUGCAAAAGGAUAAAGAAAUUCAGACAUAUCAGACUCUGUUAGGUCUUUGCUUGAGGUCUCUUUUUAAAUAAACUUUUACAAUAGCUUGCAACACUGCUAAAACAUAUUCUUACUCGAGUUCCCUUAUUUUUACCUUUGACCAAAUUUAUAGAAAAAAUAAGGCACCCUCCAAGGUUAAAGUAAACAUCAAGACACGGUUACCUAUGAUCAACACCCAUGAUUUGUCAAAGGUGAGAACUCAUAAGGUAUUAUCACCUAGUGUUUGUGUUAAGUGUUAUAGUAGUAGAAAGUGCAUGACUAUGUUUCUUGCAUUGCCCAACAGCUUGGAAUGUGGAGUUGAGUUUCUAAAUGCUGAAAAGAAUUAGGCACUUCUGCGUAGGGUGGAGAAGAUGUUAAUGAUCCAUUUAGUGGGUUUUUUGCUGACAGGAUGUAAUUCGACAAUCUUCAAAGCAAUAACUAUCUAGAAGUUAGCACGGGAUAAAAUUUGUAUCUGGCAAUAAUUAGUUCAACAUUGUACUUGGAAUGAUGGCCCAUGAAAAAUAAUCUGCAUUGCAGUAUAUUAUAACAUGAAAUAGCAAGCAUCUAAGAGAAACACUCUGUUUGGUGGAGAACCCUAAAAGACAUUUUUUUUUCUCGAGAAUAGAAAAGGAGAGCACCUCAGUUCUCCCUGGCAUAAUAGGCUUGCCAGCAUACAAUUCCGCAAGUAUGCAACCUGUACUCCAUAAAUCAACAGCUAUCCCAUAGUAGGUAGCUCCAAGUAGAAGCUCUGGAGGACGGUACCAAAGAGUCACUACUCGGCUUGUCAGUGGCUGAACCUGGGCAGGAUCAUAAAAACUUGCUAGUCCAAAGUCUGCAAUUUUCAAGAUACCAUUGUUGUCAAUUAAUAGGUUGGAACCCUUUAUAUCACGGUGUAGAACACCACGGCUGUGACAGUGAUCAAGUCCUCGUAAAAGUUGUUGCAUGUAACAUUUCACCUGCCAGCAUAUACAUAUUAGACCACAACAUCCAAAGCAUACAAGCAUGAGUCAAAUAUCAAACCUGUUCUACCUUUUAAGAUUGACAAUUUACACAUGGAUGAUCUUGGAGGAUAAGGAGCAUGUAAAACUAGCAGAUGUUAACAAUAAAAUACGUAUGAAUUUCAUAGUUAGCAGCUGAUAGCCUGUCACGGCAAAAUGCAAACACCCAUUGAAUUAGAAUCUAUUAGAACCAAACUGCCAAAAUUACCUGGGCUUCUGUAAAAUUCAGACCAGGGUGUGAGGCAAGCCCAGCCAAAUCAUGCUCCAUGUACUCAAACACAAGGUACAAGCUGCAUGACAUCCUUGAUGUAACUAGGCCUUCUAACUUUAUUACAUUAGGAUGGUCAAGCCUGCGCAAGAUGUGAAUUUCCCUGGCCAUGAAGCGAACACUCUCAGGUUCCAGGUUAUCAAACCUUACUUUCUUCAAAGCAACAAUCUUCUUCUGAUCAAGGUCACGAGCCCUAUAAACAUUACUGUAGGUUCCCUGGCCAAUCUGCAUUAUAAUAGAAAUCAUCAGAUGAGGGAACCAAAUCCCAAAAGCAGGUCAUUUCAGUUCAAAGAGGACAGCAGCAGAUAAAAAUAACAGGGCAAACCAUUCUACAAGAACUUGUGGGACCUGAAUAGAAUGAUCUGCUGUUGUCAACUACUCAAAAAUUAUACACAAAAAAGUGCAAAUAGAAGUCCAUGAUAUCCAAACAAGAAAUGCUCAACAGCAAACCUGGCCCCUUGGCCCUAGCUUAAAGAGUAAGAAAAUAGUAAAAUACAAUGGUCAGGGACACAGGAUACAGAUUUGCACAUUCAGACCAGCCUAUUCAUGCAAAUCGCUUCAUCCUUCAAGACUAGAAGUUUGAAAAAAUUCAGCCAAAUUAACCAAAACGGAAUACCAAAAGCAGGGAGCAGGAAAUUCCAGCUACUGAAGUUGUUAACAAGCAUCCAUUUCUUGAAUUAUGCGGUAAAAUUAACAAUACAUGUUCAACUAAAAGUUAUAAGCUAUCUGUCCAUAUAAUAGCAGCUCCCUCACACAUCUUUAAAUGCUAUUGUAAAAUUUAAGUUUUUUUCUUUAGGUGAGAGGGGCAAGACAUGAACUCGAGAUCCUGCCGCCUCUCCCCUGAUUCUUGUGGAUUAGAGCUUUUGGGCUAAACUAUCUCAACAAAAUUGAAAAAGACCUGUUACAAACAAUGUUGAUACAUAGCACUCAUCUUCAUGGACCCAACUACAAUUCAGAUAUCACAUACACACAAUGCAAGUUGAAGAUUAUACCACACUUUUAAUAUUCUGCACUUUGUUUACUGUUCUUCCCCCACCAUAUUUGUUUCAAAGUUCCCUCCUUCCUCAGCACACUAACGCUAAUUGACUGGCAGCUUAUCAAAAUUGGAUUCAUUUUAGACCCAUUGUAUCUAUUUUGAUGGAUAAUUAUCUAAAUGUUAUGGGUAUUCCACUAACUAUAAUAAAAAGGGCACAUUAUCAAAGAAUGGUGCUUCUCGAAUAUUCCCCAAUACUAAAUAGCUCUUAAAUUCUCUUAAUAGCCUCUUACAUUUUCUCAAAGCUCUUGGACUCGAACAUGGAUACUUCCUAUUUUCUGAUAUGGUAAUCUCUCUAACCAAAUAAAAAGGUCUAACUACAAGAAAAUCAUUCAAACCUUUAAAGCAUCACUAAUUCCUACACUGUGAUUGCAGAAACAUGGAUCUUUCUCUGGUGUAAUCAGUAUAAGCCAUUCAAAUUCAAACUCUUUCAUAUCCAUACUGUCUCAAGCCUCUCAAAACUCUAUGCUUCUCAAGCCUCCAGGCUCUGACAAGUAAACUGAACUUCUAGCUAACAUUUAUUUAGAAGUUAUCAGGUUCAAAGAAUCCGUCAUUACUCUUAGCAUGUAAAAAUGAGUUAUGCAGAGCUCUUAUGCAUGUUAUAAAUGAGCCUUCCUAAAUGUAUUUUUCACCACCUUGCUUAUUUAUAAAUAUAAAUAUAACAAGCAUACAUACAACACAAAUCUCAAGGAAAAGUCACUUAAUAGCACCAAAAAAAAGUUCCAUAAUUUUGCUAACUGAAUUCAAGCUAAAGCUAUAAAAUUUGACAACACACCAUAUCCAAUGCGUGCACAAAUGAAAAUGCUAAAAAAUGUAACAGUCCAAAAAGGUUCUAAUUCUAAUUAGCAAUCGUCACUUUGUUCAUUGCAUUAUGAACCAAUCGAGGUGUCAUAAGCAUGUUCUUCAACCAUUAAGUUUGAAUUGCUAAAUUUUGAAAAUCAUAAACAGAAUCUUGCUUGCAAUGGAGCAGAGCUUACAAUAACACAUGUCAACGUUGAGCUUAGAGAUUUUUUAUGAAGUUACUUUAAAAGUGGAAAAAACGAUCAUCAGUAAUUGCAGGACGUGUUCUAAACAAAAGCACAUGUCAACGUUGAGCUUAGAGAUUUUUUAUAAAGUUACUUUACAAAAUGGAAAAAGGGAUCAUCAGUAAUUGCAGGACGGGUUCUAAUGAUUAAAAAUGAGAUAUAACAACAAAAACAAAACGAAAAAAAGGGCAUACCUUGUCCAGCUUCUCAAAUGAAUCCGCACGCCGUGGCAACCAACCUUUGAUUGCCUCUCCAGCCACAGCAGCUAGCCAGGAAGGCCACCCAGCUGCAACCUGCUCCCCUUCAGUGGCUUUCGGUAUGCUGCCCAUACCUGGGUGGUGAAGAACUGCAUACUCUGACUUGUCCCUCUUCCUAUCAACAUGCUCAACCCCAUGCACUCUAAGAGACCCAUUCACUUGCUUGUCAAUCAACAUUGUCCUACCAUCAUUACUAUCAUAUUGAUCUUUCGCUCUAUAUGCUUCCUCUCUCCUUGAAGAGGUAGCCCUUGAUACCCUCAAGUCAGACGAGGGCUUACUUGAAAGUCUCUCUCUUGGGCUCUCCUUGCUAUCCUCAAUUGCAGAGGGUUUACAACACAUGCAACCCAUUAUGUACCUAAACCACCUCCAAAAACACCCUUCUCCUUUAGAAUCAAUAAUUACCCUUCAAAAAUCUCAUCUUUACACUUCUAUCCUCUUCUUCCAUUCCCAUUUUCACACAACCAAACUAUACUUCAUCGAAAAUAAGCAAUUAAACUAUGUAUCUCAAAAUCAAUCACCGGAAGAGCAUAAGCAAUUCCCACUCAAGAUUGAAACUUUAAAAUAACCGAACACUAGAACCACACAAUUUUGCACAAUAACUUAACUGUGACUCAAUGACUGCUCUUUUACUGUGAAACUUCCAUUUCCUUAUCAAACCCACCGACUCCUAAUCCAAAAAAGGAAACCAAUUUCCUCAACCUACAACGCUAAAAAUGAAAAAACUAACAACAACCACCACCUUUACUCCAACAACAAAUUAAGAAUCACAACCUGAAAACUAAAUACCUUUAAAAUGUCAUGCCUAAUCUUUUCAGCUAUCGAAUCAGGUGAUUGAAAACCCUCCACCAAACUCACAAUUCCACUACAAAACAAACCCUAAAAACCCAAUAAAAAAAUAUAGAACCCAAAUUACCAAAACAAACAAACAAAAUCUAAAGAAAGUAAAGAACUGGAAACACUUCAAUAUAAAGCAUGCACCUUGAAAAUGGAAACCAAAAUGGUAAUAAACAAUAUUGUGAAAUGAGAAUUGAAGGACCUCCUAGAGAUGGAGAGAUCUAGGGAAAGAGAGAGAGAGAGUGGAGUAGUGUAGAGAAGAUGACAAGAAAAUGAAAAAUGAGAAUAAAUAUGUAAUACAAUAAAUAAAUAAAUAAAUGUGAAAGUUAUUACUAUAUAUUAAUAUUAUUAAAUUAAUUAAUUAAUGAGAUGGCGCGUAAGAACAGACAGGCUUUUAGAGAAGACUGAGAACUGAAGAGUGAGUGAAGACCCCAAUGCGUAAAGACAUUCUUGGUUUGUGUCUUCUUCUAUCCCCACGCGCUCUGUUUAUAUUGACACGUGUAUAUUUUUUCUUUGCCUUCGUUUUUUUUUAAACAAAACAUUAUUUAUCAUUUGAUGAAUAAUCUCUCUUUAGAUUUUUUACUGCCAGUUUAUACCUGACUGAAUAAAGUAAAAAAAAAAACUAAAUAGAAUAAUUUAACAAAAAAAUAUUAAAACCUAUUUCAUUAAUUUAUUUAACUUGUAGUUUAACCGAAUAAAAACUGAAUGUUACUGUAUUAUUUUCAAUAAAAAAAAACUUGUGUAUAUCAUAAAAUUUUCUCAACUUUAUAUAAUAUUAUGAUAAUACAUAAUUAUAUAAUAUAUGUGUCAAAUAUUAAUGUUGUUUUAUGAAUUAAACCCUAGUCAAUAUUCAUAAUAAAAACAUAUCUUAUAAUGGUAUUGUAGCUUCACAGGAUCCGUUUUCAUCUAUGGUAAAAUUUCUGUGUUUCAUUUUUUACCAUGCUUUAUUAAAAGAAAAACUAAAAAACGUGAGAGUUUCAAUGUAACUCUAUAUAUAAAUUAUUGUAAAUUAUUAUAGUAAAAUUAUUCUUUUACCUUUAAAUAGAAAAAACUUAAGUCCUGAAGUUGGGGUUUUUUCCACUUACCUAUUAGUUAUUGAAAAUUUUUUUGGGGAUAUAUGUGUUUUUUCUAAUUUUUUAUACAGUAAAAUACUUUUUUUAUUAAGAGUCAACAAUAUUUAUAAAUAUUGACCAAGGGCUUUCUUGAUUUUUCUCAAAUUUUUUAACAGCAAAAAUAUUUUUUUGCCCCCGAUAUCAAAAAUUUAUGGAGUUGUUGGGCAAAGGUGUUUAUGGUUUUUUCAUGAUCUAUAUACAGAAAGCAUAUUUUUAACCUUAUAAAAGACCAAAAAAAAAUAAGUUUUUCCUUUAAGGGUGUUUUAAUAUUUUCAUAUGAGUAUUCUGUGUAAUUAACAUGUUCAUGAGGGUGUUUUGGUAUUUUUCACAUUUUCUUUUCAAUUUUUUAUUCUAAGAUCUGUUGAAUGCGUGUUCCAAACAUGCUGAAGAGUGGAUGGCGUUCGUGUCAUUCAGGUGAUGAUGAUGGUGAUAAUUGUGGUAGUGAUAUUUAUAAUGAUGAUGAUGUCAUCGUCGUCGUCAUCAUAAUAAUAAUAACAAUUUCAUACUCACAUUUUUUCAUACUCACAUUUUAUUCAAAAAAUAAUAAUAAUAAUUUAUUAUGAUAGUUGUAGUGAUUAUGAUAUCAAUAACUAUGGUGAUGAUGGUAAUAAUAUUAAGAAUUAUUAUAAUAAUGAUAUUGAUGGUGGUGAUAUUAUAAUUAUAAUAGUAAUAAUAAUAAUGAUAAGAAUAAAAAUAAUAGUAAUAUUAAUUGUGAUGGUGGUGAUAAUAAUUAUAAAAAUAGUAUUAACAAUAAUAAUAAUAAUAAUAAUAAUAAUAAUAAUAAUAAUAACAACAACGAUAAUAAUAACAAUAAUAAUGGUAACAAUAAUAAUGAUAGUAAUCACGAUAAUAAUACUAAUAAUAACGAUAAUGAUAUUACUUAUUGAUAAUAGUAGUGAUGAUGACAGCUGUAAUGUUAGUGAUAGAAGUAUUGAUGAUGAUAAUAACGAUAGAAUACUAAUGGUGAUAAUUCAUCAUUCGAUGUUAGAUUUGUUAGGAAUUGAGUUUCACCACUUUUCCAUGUAUGGAAUUUCCGGUCUAAUAUUCUGGGUUACUAGUUUGAAAAGUGUAAUUGGAAACUCGUUUUAGGAAAAGAUCCAAGAUAAGAGAUUUCAAGAUUCAUCUUAUUGUCCGGGUUUAUAGCAUUGCAAAAAAAUCUUUGUGCUCUUGAUAAUUUUUUUCUACAUUUUUUAAAACAUGGUUUGGCUCGUGGUGGAGCGCAAAAAAAUGAACGAGUACACUUUCUAUGUAUUGUUGUUUAUCGUUGUUUAGAGAGCACUUUUUUUAUCUAUUGUUAUUGAAUUAUUUUUAAAUUAAAAUUAAAAUUAAAAAUAAUAUGGAUCAAACACCUUUAUUCAAACUUACUAAAUUUAUGUAACGAUCACUUUCUUUAUUUUAUCAAAAUUUCUAAAAACCAACAAAUCUUGAUAUUUAGAAAUUUUCCUAAACAAAUAUAUACCAAAUGUAUUUGUGAUUUGAGUAUUUUUUUUAAACAUAGAAAUUGACGAAGUCAUGAAAUCUUCAUAUUGGAUUAUGCUUUCCACGGGUUGUGAUUUUAGGCUAGAGAAGUGACCGAUUUCACCACUAAUCAAUAAGAUUUUCCUACAAAACAAUCUCAUGUUGGAACAAGAGGUCUUCUAAAAAUUAAUUUAAUAAAAAACAUGAGGGAAAUAAUAUACAUGAAAGUAAAGAAUGUAGGAGAGUGUAUUUGUGAAUGUUGGAUUGGGUGCAUUGUGUAAACUUGUUGAAUAGUUGUUCGUGAUUUCUAAAAUUGUUGUCUGGUUGCUUGUGUGUUUCUGGAAGUGUUGGGUGGUUGCUCAUGGUUAUUGGAAGUGUUGGCUGAUUUCUUGUGAUUACUAGAUCGAGACCCAAAUAAUUUUUCAAGGUCGAGCCAGCCAAAAUAAACUGAAAAGCAAUUUGUUUGGGUUGUGGCCUAAAGGGAUUGAAGGUAGUCAUUUUGGUUUGCUGGCCUAAACAUGUUAUUUAAUUAUUAUUAUUUUAAAUUUUAACAAAUUUAUCGUGCCAUCAUAUGUCCCCCAAGUCUUUAAAAAACAUGUUUGGAAGACUUUACCGAAAAAAAGUAGGGGAUAUAAAAUACUUAUUGUUUUUAUACUGGUGAUGUUACUUGCUUUUGUUAAUGUACAUACAUGAGAGUUCUCUUAAUUGUUUUUCAUCAUUUCUGUGAAGAGAAGAGAAUUUAGUCAAUUUUAUGUGUUCUUCCUAGAAUAGAGAACAUUAUUACUUAAAAGUGGAGAAUAUUUCAUGUGAAAACAACUUUAAAGUAUUAUAAUAUUGGAGAAGUGGAGAUUUCAUUAGAGAUCUCAAGUUGAGAUCUUUAUUGGAGACAUUAGAAACACAUUUAGAGACAUAGAAACUUCGCUUGGAGAUGUGGAGAUUUCAAUAAAGAUAUGAAGAUCUCAUCAUGAAGAUUUUUUAUUGAAGACAUGAAGAUAUGUUUUGGAGACACGAAGAUCUUACUUUGGAGAUUUUUAUUAAAGACAUGGAGAAAUAUUACUACUUUUAUUCAAAAGUUAAUGGAGAUAUAAUUUCUAAAAAUUAUUUGAUCUUGGACAGUCCAUCAUAUGAAUUUUUUUCAGUUUGUUCAGAUUCUUUUUUUUUUCUUCAUAAAUUAUUAGAGGUAUCCUUUAAAGAUCAAUUUUCCCUCUUCUUUUUCAAGGUAUGACAUUCCUCAAUGUCGUGAUCAUGGUCAUGGUAAAAGUGACAGGAUUUAUUAGGGUUCUUUGUAUUUGCGCUGCUUUUCUUAGGGCCAGGUAUCAUUUCCUUGAUUGGUAGCCAACACUUUAGUAUAUGUAGUGAUAAAAGGUGUGUUCAGGAGCUCGAAGAAUGUUAGGCGAUCAAGAAAUGAUCUCUCAGUGCUCUUUUUCGAUGCCCUGGUAGGAGAUCGAUAACAUUACAGAGAUUUUGCUCUCUCUAAAAACGAUGAUGUCCCUAUUUGGCAACAUUGGCUUCUUAAACGAUAAUAAGAAUAGACAUAAACAUUAAAUUGAUUGAAUAAAAUAAAGGAAAAAAAUAUUAUGCUAGGUUGCACAUAUUAGAAAUAUUAUCUAAAAAUAAAAAAACUUAUUUUAAAAAAUAAAAUUCAUCUAUACAAAAGAUAAAAAAAAAAUUAUAGAUAAAUAAGAAAAACCUCGUAAAAAAUUAAAUGCAUAACAAAAAAAAUCAUCAAUUAAAAGAGGCUCUUUAAACAAAAUAAAAGAAAGAAGAGGUAUUAAUCUAAAUAUAAAUAUUUAAAAAUGUAUAAAAAGAAGCAUUAAUUAAAAAAAAAAAAAGGUCAGGUGCAGUAGCUAACCUGUCUAGCCUUUUUGUUGGGGCUCGCGCGACUAGGCCCUUAUUUGUUUUCGCAUUUAGGGUGGUGUCGCCCCAAAUGUUUUUGAAAAAAUAAAUCAGACGACACGUCGUUUGUUUUUGCCCAGAUUCCAACCAUUGCAGUGACCAAAAAAUCAAGGCUUAGGGUUUUUUACCCAGAAACACAUUUUUCAACAUAUUUUUGACCAAAAACACCUAUAAAACACCUUAAAAACCGUAACAAACCUAUUUAUAGCCUAAAAAACCAAAAAACCAUCUCAAAAAUCAAAAUCAACCCGAGCUCAUAUAUGUUUUUUCAUGAAUUUUAAAGGUAAAAAAAUCUAGUAUGAACUCCCCUCAUCAAAUAGAAUUAUUUGACACAAAUAUCGACCGUUUUAGUGGUCUAAAUUGGUAUUAACGGCAUCUCUCUCUCUACCGCUAGAAUCCAGCGACCUCUCUCUCUCAUCUCUCAACCAGAGACUAAAAGUAACAAAAAUAAAUUUUUAUACCGAAAUUGAAUUGAAAAAAUAUUAAGACACCAAAAUUGUAUAAUUUGUUUUAUUUUUAAAGUGCGAUGACCAAAGUAUAUCUAGAUCUACGGUGUUUUAUUUGUGUAUAAAUAGUGUCGGCUCUACAGCUAAAAUCACAUGCCUUUUUAGAUUUUUACUUCAAUUAGUUUUCUUUCUCCAAUUUGAAGGAUAGUAGAUAGGCAUUUUAUUUGUGUAUGAAUCCAAAAAAUAAAUACUCUAGUUUUGUUAACGAAUCACAUCAUGUGCUAGGACACGGCAACAAUUGCAGGGAAAACUUGAUAAUAAAGGAUGGAUUGAUUUGCUGGAUUUUCUUUUCCUUUUGCCUUUUUAGCAUUCUUUCUAUAACUUGAUAAUAAAUAUCGUUAGGUGGGUGAAUUGGAUGGAAACUCUUGCCCCUCAUUUGAAGGCCCCACUCAAAAUAAUCAUGAUCCUAAUCUUAGUAAGUUGAAUAAUCAUGUGGCUGUUCAAUGAUUGAUUUUUUUUGGGUAAUGCUGAUUUUAAUAUCAUUUUCAUCUAUCAAUUUGAUUAGGUGGGUCCUUGUCGCUGACAUUUUUCUUUGGAUGAUUGGAGACUUUUUUGACCUUCAUCCAUGUAUGUAUGGGUUUUAACCAGCAGUGAGAAAAAUAGUUGACAUUUUUCUGCUUUUGACAUUAAAAAUAUAAAGUUAAAAGGUUUUGGAAUACACUAUUUUUAUAUAUCCACUAACAUUGUGGAUAAUAAUAGUAAUUUAUAGUAUUGGUUUUUUUUUUUAGCAUUUUGACCUUUUUUUCCUUUUAAGUAUUGGUUUUUUUUUUUAAAUUUAUUCCUCAUAUGAUAUGUUUAUAGAGAUUUAGAGUAAAUAAUUUAUUUUAAUUUGUUUUUUAUAUAGUUAUCACAAUACUAAAAAAAUAUCAUAGCAUCGAGUUGGUAUCGGAAAAAAAUUUCAGUAUUACAGUAUGAUCUAUUUUUAAAAAAGUUUAGUGAAACAAAAAAUAAUUUAGAAAAAAAAACUAAGUUAUUAAACUUUGUGGAGUCAAUGACCCUGUUUCCGAGUUUGGCGAGAUAAUCCUGAUUGCCUCGGUUCGCGGGUUUUGUUGGGUACUUUUUUUUUCUAAUUGAACUUGAUUAUAUGAUCAUAUAUAUUUUUUUAUCAUAUAAUUAAAAAAUAGUUUAAAAAAAACAUGUUACUAUAUUUUAGAAAGUCCAUGGGCCUAUUGACGAGUUUAACUUUUCUGUUUUUCUUUUUUAAAAAAAAUUAUUUUUUUUAUUUCAUCCUUUGAUGUUAGGUUGAUUGAGAAUUGAGUUUCAUAAUUUAUUUCGUUUUGCUUUUUAAGAGGUUAUUAUAUUCUUAAAAAAAAAGUCUUAGAAUUGGUUUGAUGCUUAAUUUUGCGAUCAUCUAUUUUUGUUAUCAUAUAGUUAAAUAAACAAUAAUUUAUAUAAAAAAACAAGUUAUUAAUCCCAAUGGAGUCCAUUAUCAGGUUUGCGAGUUUGAAAUGUUGACCCGGGUUACCCGAUUCACGAGUUUAGCCAUCAAGCCUGAUAUUUUUUUUUUUAGAUUUUGGUCCUUUAAUUUUUCUAAUUGUCUUUUUUUUUUAUUUCACUCUUCUUUAAUAUUGGAUUGUUUGGGAAAUGAAAUUCAUGGUUUAUUUUUUUCUACUUUUUAUAAGGUUAUCACGAUCUCAAAUAAAAUGUCUUUUUUAUGGUUACUGCUCAAUUUUUCAAGUAUCUAAUGUUAUCAUAAAAUUAAAUAAAAAUAAUUUAUAAAAACAACAAAUUUAAUAAACUCAUUGAACUUCAUGACCUAGGUUACAAGAUGACCGAGGUCGAUCUCAUCUGGUAUCAUCUCAAUAUUAAAAAAAAAUUAUUGUCUUAAAGUUUUUUUAAAAGAUAUGUCAUGUUUUUAUUGGUCAUCUAAGUUGUAUUUAGACCCAUUAAAUUGAAUGAUUCACUUUGGAUCAACUCUUACGCGAUUUAAUUCAAAACUCGAGUAAGGAAAAGAGUCGAGUUGGCAGGUUUCAAGAUCAAACCGCUUGAUUGGAUUUAAUGAUACUACAAAAAAAUAUCACCAUACUCUUAACAUUUUUUUAUGUUUAGAAAAAGAAUAGUCUGACUCACAGUGAAAUGCAAGCAAAUGUAUUAAAACAAGAAUGUGUGACAUAAGCUCGUAUAUUUACAUUGCUCAUAGUUAGAUUAUUGGGGAAUUACAAAAUUGUCAAGAAGAGUGAUAAAUUGAUAGUUGGAGGCAAGGUUGUCAAAAACGCAUUUUUGACACGACAUGAAAAAUACAAAAUAAACUCGGAUCGUAAAAACGGAUCGUAAAAUCGUAAGGAAUUUUUUCAAGAGAAGCCUAUUGUCCCAAAUUCAAAGAAGAUGAUACAAAUAAAACAAUGUUCUGGAAAGGAAUAAACAUUACCAGCAAUGCUUUCAUAAUCACAAAGACACCAUAACACCAUCCCACGCAAAUUCAAAGAAAAUCAAUACAAACAAAACAAUGUUCUGGAAGGAAACAGACAUUACCAGUAAUGCUUUCAUGGACAGGGACAUUGGUGACCAGUUCCUUCACACUCAAACGUUUGCACAACAACGUUGUAAAAUUCAUAAUGUUCAAUCACCAAAUAGUUAAAAAACCUGCAAAGAAAAAAACAUCGCAUCAAAAGUUUGAACCAUCAAUAACAAAAGACACGCUGAAAUGCAGAGAGAAAAGAGGACACGAAGCAAAGCAAAACCAAGGUUUUUAUUUUUUUUCUUCGAAUACAUAAACCUGUUCAAACUGUCCACAUAGCAAAACAACAACAUUGAGACCUGCCAACAUUACAGGUAACCUCCAUAUGCAAUCUGUGAUUGUUCCUGCACAAACACACUAAUCAGUUCUACCCCAUAGAUUGAUCCCUGAAGCUUUUUCUUCAGAAAUGAAUCCUUUGCUCUUUAAACUUUAAACUGCAUCCUUGAUAAUUUGCUCCAUGGGAAUAAAUUCUAAACCCAAGUCCAUCAGCUUCUUGGCUCCAUUCUUUGCCCUUAACAACCCAGGUUGGGUAUCCUUCAGCAACCUACACCAAUAGGCACAUUAAGGAUCAAGCAGUAAUGAUUCAUACCAUCAAACAACCAGAAAGAAGUUUUAAGAUCUCAAUGAAGCAGGGGUGGCAAUGGACAGAAGUUUGAUCCACAACACAACAACAAGCACAACUUUGUAUGAGAAUAAAGAGCAAGACUAGUUAAAUUUAAUGUUCCCAAAUUCAAAACCCACAAACCACACUUAUCAAGAAAAUCUAAAUUCACCUCAAAUCAGCCUAUAUACUGAUUUUGCGAAAGAAAUUAUCAUAAGAAAAAUUGGUCUCAUUUCACAAGUUCGAUUACCAAACUUUGCUUUUACUGUAAUGACACCUAACCUAGCAAUAAUAAUCUACUACAAUUUGCUCCAAUAAGAGUUCAAACAUUCUGACAGCUUAACCAAUUAUAUAGACCGACCUCCAGAUAUGAGAAUAUUCAAGAAAUUGGUAAAAGCUAAACAAACAGCUGAAAUAUUCUUCUGAUUUGGGGUUUCAAUCUAUAAUCAGUGUUGUCUUUAGGGUUUUUGCUUUCCAGCUAGCAAGCUAAAGCAAAGCUUAACAUAUAUGAGGACAAAGUGAUAGUAUGCUUGCACGGUUUCACCAUUAUCGUCCAGACUUCCAUAAACAAGUGCACUAACAAGAAAAAAAAAAGAACAAAAAUUGGUUGUUGUUUGAGUUUUGCCUAUGCAGAGACAAGACUCGGUGAGUUGUGGAGGCAGAGCAGUAGAGGUGAGUUGUGGAAAAAGAGGCGAGACUGCGAGAACCCUUGAGAUUUGAGAAAGGGGAAAGGGGAAAAGGGAAAGGGGAAAGGGGAGGGUGACGGUGUGUCGGGGAGGGGAGACAGAGUCAGUUUAUUUUUUUCACUCUCUAUCAAACUCGUUAACUCGGUCCGUUUUUACCGAGUUGACCGAGUUUGGUCGAGUUUGACCGAGUUUGACCAUUUUCGAGUUUUUAACUCGAUUUUACAGGUUAUAUGGGAGUUGACUCGUAAAAUCGUACGAUUUUACGAGUCAACUCGCGAUUUUGACAACAAUGGUUGAAGGGUUAGACUUCAGUUUUUAUCUGAAAAAUAACAUUAACUAAAUAAUUAACUCACAUUAAAUAACUGGUUGGGGAAAAAAUUAAACUUAAAAAAAUUUCAAGUUUGUAAAGAAUUUCUAGGCAGUGUCAUUAAAUUUAGCCUAAGUCAAUUUUAAAAUCUCCUGAUCAAACUCAUCUCUUAGUCCAGGUUUUAAAUUAAACCGUAUGAAAGUUGUCCCGGUAUGACUCAAUUGACCUAAUGAGUUUAAAGUGACCCAAAUAACCAGUAAAAAGUGUAAUUUAACUUUUUUUAAAAAUUUCAAGAUAACAUAAUUUUUUUAAAAAAUAUUGAUACGACAAUAUAUUGUAUUGACCUGAGUUUUGCGGCUUAACCCACCAAAACCAUUACUCGGGUUAUGGACUCCACUUUUAAUAAAAAAAAUUUAAACUACUUUUUAUCUAAUUAUAUGAUAACAAAAAUAGAUGUUUGUAAAAUCAACCACUAACUUGAUGUUGGGAAAAAUCAUGGUGUUUGUUUGAGACCAAAAUAAAUUAUGAAGGUCAAUUCAAAAUCAACCAAAAUUUAAAGGAAAAAAUUGAAAAAAAAUCUGUCAAUAAAUAUCCAAUAUUGAAUGAUGACAUUGGGAAAAAUCAAAGGAAAAAAACCAAAAAAUAGGCUAAACAGACUGGCCUAUAUGGUCCAAUACGCCUCUACCUUCUUUAUUUAUUUUUCUUUUUUAUCAUCCACCCUUUGUUUUUUGAAAACAUAUAUAGUAGGCAAUAUGUUGUAUGUUUUUAUAGAUUCUGACCACCACAUGUGGCUGGAAAGUCAAGCUUCUAACUUAUAGGUAAAAAAAAAAAACAAUUUCAAAUAGUUUUCAAUUGAAAACACCUAAGAAACACCCUAGGGAUCUCAAUAAAUCCAUUUUUUUUAAUCUUAAAUUAGCAUUUAAUCAGUUAUAAAUGAAAAAUCAUUUUAAUCCAUUUUUUAAAAUGUGAUCUACUUUUUUUCAACAAAAUAAAUAAAUAAAAAAGAUCUAAAGAGAACUCUCAUUGUCAAAUGGAACCGAUUAACAAAAAUUAGUCAUUCACUAACUCUUUUUUUUGUGUUUUUAGCGACUUUCCCUUUUCUCUCACAAUUACAUGGUCUAAAUAUGAACAAAAUAAAAUUUAGAACAAAACCUCUCAAUUCCCAAACCAAAUAGACCACAAAGAAAAUUAGACAAAAUCCUAAGGCACAAAGGUGCUAACAUGAUUUUUUUAACGGAAGAUCCUUUUUUAUUUUUUUAAUUGUGGUCCCUUGAUUUUUUUAUUUUUCUUAAAUAAUAAAAUUGGAUUCAUUUUCAUGAAAUUGAGUACCAACCUAAUAGCAAGACUUUUUUAAAAUAGAGAUAACAAAAAAAAUUUGAAACAAAUUAUUAACCUUAAAUCUCAAUAAACACAACAUUGAAGCAUCAAAUUGAAAAGAAAAAAUUGAUGAUCAAAGGCAUAAAAAAAAUAAAGAUGACCAAAGUUAAAACCAUAUAUUUUUUUUAAAUGCCUUAUAUUGUUUUUUUCAAUUUUGGUCCCCUCAUUUUUAAUCUCUUGCAAACAAUAAAAUCAAAUAUAUUUUUUUGUGAAACUUGGCACUAACACCAUGUGAGGAUGUUUUUCUAAGAUAGCGCUAAGCAUAUAAAAAGCGAAUCAAAAUAAAUUAUCAAUCCUAAAUCCCAAUCAACACAACAUUGAAUGAUAAAAUUCAAAAAAAUAAUAACAAAAAAAGGUGUAAAAAAAAAAUGAAGCAACAUUGUGUGAAUAUAUGGUGUUUUGCCUUGUAAUCCACAAUGAUUGUAUGAUGCUUUUUCAGUUUUUAACUAGAUGUAGACUUGUACUACACCACAUGGCCAUAUUAUUAUUAUUAUUGCUUAAAAUGAUGUUCAGGUGAUACGAACAUUUUAAAGAAUGGAGAAAAAUGUGUGACACGAGUCAUAGACCCAACUGGGUUAAAUAAAUUGAUUUUAUUUUAAUUAGAUAAUAAAACAAAUAGGCAAUGACAACAGAUGGACCGAAAAACAUUAUCACGAUAACUUGAAGAAAAAACUUUUUCUAAAAAGGUGAAAAACGAUGUAGCUCAUUUAUCAACCAAUUAAAUACAAGAUGAUAAAAUUAGGUGAAAAUAGAACAAAGAAAAUUGACAUAAGUCAACUCAAGUUAGCAUGACAAACCUAUAACCCGGGUAAUAUAGACCAAGUCAACACGGGUUAGCCCGCCAAACUCUUGGCAUAAGUUAUGAGAUUAUGAUAACUUAAUAGAAAAGAAAAUGAAGAAAAUUACAAUGCCUAUUUUUUUUAAGAGGAAAACAAUGUCGAAUGAUGAAAUAAAAAAAAUAAGUAAGAAAAUGUCAACCCACUUUAACUUCUCAAACUCCUGAUCCGGAUCAUUAGAUCAAAAGCACCCUAUCUUAAAAAACCAUGAUGUCUGAUUCCUAACCAAUCAAAUAUUGAAUGAUGAAAUUAUAAAAAAAAAUCAAUUAAACAAAAGAAUCCAAAAUAGAAAAUAGCAAUUAAACAAUGAAGAACUAGAUUGAAAUAAAAAUAAAUUAGAAAACAACUACAAUUUUUUUAUUGAAGGGUGAAAUUGUAAAUAUAAAUCAAUUUAACAAAAGGACCAAAAAACAAUUAAAAGAAUGAGAAUCAAAUUGAAAAAAAAUAGCUUAUCACAAAUUAGGAUUGAAUGAUGAAAUUGAAAACAAAUUAAAAUUUAACAAAAGGGCAAAGAACAAAAAUUAAAAAUCAAAAGAAUACAGACCAAAGUUGAAGUCUCAAUAAAUAAGAGGACAAGUCUGAAAUUUUGAAUGCUCAAUAUGAAUUUCAAGGGGAGGAGGGAGAAAAGAGAAAAAUAGAAAGAAAGCAUUAUUGUUAACAAACCGCCCCCACUACUGCUGCCUUAUGCGGCCCCAAUAAGGAGAAGAUAUCACGAUGACUCAAUAAACACGUAGAAGGAAAUGUUUUGUUAUCGAGAGACGCCGUAUGCGCCGUUAGAACACUAUGGGAACCUCCUAUAUGCUAACCAUGUUUUUUAUUAUUAUAUUUUAUAUUUAUUAAAAUAUCAAAUUACCCCCAAUCAACUUAAUUAUAACUAAUAAACUAGGUUGAGAAUUCAAAAAAGCCCUCAAAUGCUAGUUUUAGAAUUUUUGCUUUUAAAGAUAUUGUAGUUAUUUUACUGCACUUUAAAAAUAUGAAAUGACCAAGUUAUUUCUGAUCAAUUUGAUAAUGACUAGUGAACCUUGUGAAAAGACUGCAUUACCUCUAAUAGUCAGUUUAAAGAUUUUUGGCGGGAAGAGCAAAAUCAUCAUUACAUUGUUAUAAUUAACAAUGUUUUUCCCUCCCAAAUUAGCUUUUGUUAAUUUUAAUUUUAAUUUAAUUAUAAUUUUCCAUAGCAGUAGACUUUUGGCCUAUAACAAGUUAACUCGAUAUUAUUUGUGGCAAAGGAUAAUAAGAUCCUAAGCAAAAAAAUAAAAUAAAAAAGUUCAAUUGAGUCCUUGAUAUUACUCUUUUUUAAUUUUCUACUUUAAAAAUAAUAAAACGAGGACUUAUAUGUCUUAAAAUGGUACUUGUUUUGGCAUGAGUUUUAAUCGUGGACUUAAUUGGAUAACGUAUGAUAGAUAUAAUGAAAUUUAACUUUUAAAGUUAUUCUAAACAUUACACUAUGUAAAUAAAAUGUUAAAAGAUAGUUCUACUCCAUUCAAUCUUGUAAUGACAAAUAAGUUCUGUAAAAAGAUAAUUUUACCUUGUACGGUUUAAAUUGUGAAAGGAGAAAUAAUAAUUUUAUAAUUUUAUUGUGAGGAUCCACAAUAAAUUAUUAUCUAUUAGUAUAACAGCCCGGCCCAACUUGUCAUAUAUUGUCCACUUUGGGCCUUACUGUCCUCAUGGUUUUGUUCAUGGUGACGCGAGCCCACAUCUGAGCCUGACGCCCCAAAACGCGUAUGACAAGUUGGCAACUAGCACUUGCUAUAUAUUGUCUGCUUUGGGCUUUACCGCCCUCACGGUUUUGUUCCUGGCGACGCGAACCCACAUAUGAGCCUGACGUCCCAAAAAGCGUAUGACAAGUUGGCAACCAGCACUCAUAAUAAGACCAACUACCACUCCCUCACCCGCCGAUGUGGGAUAUUACAAUCCACACACCUUAAGGAGCCUGACGACCCCGUCGGCACAACCGGACAAACAGUGAGGUCGGUUCUGAUACCAAAUGUGACAGCCCCGCCCAACUUGCCAUAUAUUGUUCGCUUUGGGCCUUACCGCCCUCACAGUUUUGUUCCUGAUGAUGCGAGUCCACAUCUGAGCUUGACGUCCCAAAACACGUAUGACAUGUUGGCAACCAGCACUAUUAAUAAGGCCAGCUACCACUCCUUCACCUGCCGAUGUGGGAUAUUACAAUUAGUGUGUGUAAUGUAUUCUUGAUUAAUUUUUUUAGCUUUUGCUUUAAUGGGUUUAAGUUUUAAAGUUUCAUUUAAAAGUCUCCCAAUCAUGCAAUUUGAAAUUCCUACAAUUCAAAUUGUUAGAUUAAUUUAAUUUCAGCAUGAAUUUAUCCCGUUAGGAAUAUAUUGGUUGGGACUUUGAUAUGCUUUGAUAUUACCAUGAUGUUACAUGGAAUCAAAGAUUUCUAAACACAUUUUUUCUUUCCCUCUCAUUAAUUAUAACUUAUAAGUGAAUGGUUAAAAAUACCAGUUUCAUAAAAACAAAAUGAUAAAAAGAAUUGAAAAGAGAUUAUGCAAGAAGGUCCUCUUGUCCUAUAUGCCAAAGAUUUUAUGAUGUUUUAUCAAAAUAUGAAACAUAGAUUAUAUUGGAAAGUUAGGGGUAAAUAUUUUCAGUUCAGUUCGGUUUUUACUUAAAAAAAAUAACCAAAUUAAAAUUUAAAACAAAAAUAAAAAGACUCAGGAUCGGCUCAUGAAAGAAAGCAGGAACUUAUGGAGGCCAUUGAACGUUGGAAUAUAAUGAAAAUUCCAACUUGAUUCAAUGUUGUUGGAACCGGUUUGGCUCGGUCUAAUUCAAUUAGUUUUAAACUCUUAAAUCAAAACCAAACCAACAUAAUUUUUUUGUUUUUCUAAUAUUUAAUUCAGGUUUUUUAGUUAAUUUUUAUUUUAUUUUAUUAAUUUUUCGGUUUUUUUCUCCCCUCUAAAGAAAGUAAUAGAACAUAAUGAAAUUACCAUGAUGCAAGUCUUGGUCGGUCCAUUGAACGUGCACAAUACCUACCAAUACCAUCUCACCUGUUAGCGAACAGUAGCUGUCAAUGUCCAAUAAAUAAUGAAUAGUUUAUCCAUUUGAUAAGGCAUUCAUGAAAUUUAUGGCAGUGUCUUCUGAAAUCGAGACAAGAAACAAGUCAAUGGGACCCCUUCAAGCUCAAGCAUGGUGGCCUCUGAGUUCUUCAUGCUCCACGUAGUUCAACACUUUGUAUUCUAGUUACAAAACUGUAUUAUUAUAUUUCGCCAGCUUUGAUUAAAUAAUCAAGUGAAUUCACAUUAAUAUAUCUGUUUUGUAAUCAACUGCAAGUUAUUUUUUUAAGUUUAUAUAUAUAUAUAUAUAUAUAUAUAUCAACACAUCAAAACUAUUAAAAGAUACUUAAAAAACAUUAAUUUAAUUAUUUUUAAAAUAAAAAAAAUCUAAAAAACACUUUAAAAAACAGGUUGAACCACAUUAUCAAAUACAUCAUUUUCGGAUAUGUUUGGAAUUGUGGUUGUGAUUCAAAAUGUUUUGCGCUUAGAAACGCAUCAAAAUGAUGUUUUUUUAAAAAAAAAAAUUAUUUUUAAAAUCAGCACAUCAAAACGAUCUGAAAACAUAAAAAAUUUAAUUCUUAAUAAAAAAAAUUAAAUUUUUUAAAAACACGGGUUGGAUCUCGUUUCCAAAUGAUCCAUUCAUGGUUGUUCCGAGUAAUUAGCUUUUCAUUAGUACAACGUAAAAUCAAAACUUCUUUUAAAUUGUAGGGGUAACAUUGAAAACAUUUAAAAUAUAAGGGUAGAAGUGAAACAUUUAUGAAUCUCUAGGAGCAGUAUUGAAAUUUACCCUUGUUUUUCUACUGGGGAAACCUCAAUUUAGUCCUCAUAUUUACUUCAACGUCAAUUGAGCCCCAAUCCUUAUGAUUUUGUUAAGUUUACCCCAAGCACAAUUUUAACAUCAAAUCAUUAUAAAUUUUACUUUAUACAAACCAGUUAUUCUCCAAAACAUGAAAGCAAAAGAAAAGAUCAAAGACUAAAACCAGAAUCAAUGAAAUCAGCCAAGAGGAAACAGACCUAAAAGCAUUGUUAUUAAAAUAUAUUUAUGCUUCAUACCUUGCAAGAUAUAUUUAUACUAUAGUACAUACAAGUAUCCAAAGUCAUCUUUUAUUUCUUUUAAUAUAAAUGUUUUAAUAUAAGAGUAAGAGAAAUAAAAUAUAAAAUCUAGAAAAUUUUCUAUGAAAUACCAUACAAAAAGUAACAAUCUUUUAAGGGAACGGGUAUAAUAAAAUUCAAAAAAUUCUUCUAAUGUGUAUUCCCACAUAAAUGAUCCUUUUUAUUUGACCUACAAAAACAAAAAAUAAUUAAUUAUAAUAAAUUAAUAAACCCGGCAUAACUCGGGUGAGACCCGACCUUUUUUUUAUAUAUUUUUUAAUAAACCCAAAAAAUGUAAAGUUAAUGUGUGAAUACUUUAACUUUUUCAUGUGGGAUAACUAUAUUUAUAGUCUAUAUCCUCAUAGAAUAUUUCUUAACCUACACUCACAUGAGAUAACAUACACUCACAUGAAAUGUUUCAGAUAGCUAUAUAUAGCCUAAAACCACAUGAAAUGUUUCUUAACUUUUUUAUAUGAGAUAGCUAUAUAUAGCCUAAAACCACAUGAAAUGUUUCUUUUCCAUGUGGAAUAUUAAAACCUCAAAAUAUUUUUUAAAUUUUUUACCGGGUUGACCCGUUUUGACCCGGGUAACUCGUAUGACCUGGACCCGGCCCCUUGGUCGGGUCAACCCUCAGGCCAGGUUUAAUAACUAUGGUGUACACACUGUCAUUUUAAUGUGGAUUUACACAAUGAAAUGAUCAUUUUGUUAUUUUUAAACAAAAUCAUUUAACUUGCUAUUGGAGGUAAAACAGUCUUUUUCAUGGGAUCCAUCUAUCAAUGUCAUAUUGAUUUGGGAGGUCCUGAUCUUUUUACAUUUUAGGUGCAUAUUAAAAUGACUUAAAUACCAUUAAAAGCAAAAAAUAAAUAAAACUGGGGACAUGGAGCUUUUUGAUUUUUUAAUAUUUUGAUUGCACAAUGAAAUGACUAUAUUUUUCUUAAAAGAAAAAAAAACUGAUAUAAAAAAGUAUUUUAGUCGCUUCAUUAUGGUUUUUAAGUCAUUAUCAAUUUUAAUAAGGGGCAUUUUAGUCUUUUAACAAAUAUAAAUAUAAUAAAAAAUUAAAAGAUGGUAAGCGCGUGCCACGUACACACUAGAGAGAGAAGGGCACUAAUGCCUUUUGAAUUGUGUCUGGCACCUCCUAGCGAUCAAAUGCCGCUAAUAUUUUUCUUUUCCUCCCUCCUCUUUCUCCUCGUCUUAGAUUUCACGCCAACCAUUUCAAAUAUCAAACAUGUCUUGUUAGUUUGUAUUUAUAUCAAUUUUGGUCUUCAUUCUUUUGAUUGCUAUUUGUUUUGUUUUUACGGCUUUUUGAAGUUGAUUUUUUAUUUAUUUUGUCCCCCAAUAUUUUACUUCAUUUAAUUUUUGUAUCUAAUUUGGUCUUUAUUCUUAUGAUUACUAUUUUGUUUUUGUUUUUAAUCCUUUUCUUGAUUUGUUUUUUUAAUUUUAUCCCUUAACAUUUUAUUUCAUUUAAUUUUUGUAUCUUAUUUGUAUCUUAUUUUUUUUAUUGCUAUUUUUUGUUUCUAAUCGUUUUCUUGAUUUAAUUUUUUUUUCAAUUUUGUUUCUCAACAUUAUAUUUCAUUUAAAUCUUGUAUUGAACUUGGUACUCAUUUUUUUUAUUGCUAUUUGUUUUUUUUUUAAUGGAUGAUUAGGAUUUAGGAAUUUUGCUUCAUAAUUUUUUUUGUGUUUGCCUUCUAAAGGGCAAUUAUGGUCUCAUGACAUAGGUCACGGAUUUUAAAAAUUAGCCCGGUUUAACUUCGGUCUUUUUUAGGCCAUUGAUUGCUUUUAUGUGGGGUUAUCCCGAUCUUAGAUUUUAGAUCAUAAGUUGGUCGAGUUAACCCGAGUUGACCCAAGUUUUUUUUUUCAUUUUUUAAAUUGAUUUUUUUAGAUUAGUCUUUCAUCAUUUAGUUUGCUUAAGAGUUGACCUUCAUCGUUUUAUUCAAUUUUUUAUGUGUGAGUUUAUCCAUAUCUCAUGACCAGGUCGUGAAUUUGGUAUGCUGACACGGUUUUUUUUAUCCUUUUUAAAAUUGAUUUUCUUUCUAGAUCGUCCUUAAAUGUUUGCUUUGCUGAUAAUUGAGCUUCAUAUUUCUUUUAUUUUUUUAUGAGGUUAUCCCGUUCUCAUUCGAUUUUGUUUUGUUAUCAAAUAAGAUCGUUAAGACUUUUUAAUAAUAUUUAGAAGGUCUAUUUUUGUAAUAUUUAUAAGCAUUUAUUUUUUUAUUAGUCAUUAUCAUUUUUUAUUGUUAUUUGAUUUUUUUAAUAAUCAAAUUAUUAAAUUAAGAAACUUUAUUGAAUCCAUUCAAAUCAUUGAUCUGUCUCAAAUUUUUCUUUCUCUUUUAAAAACACUAUCAUUGUCUGGACAUUUUUUUUUAACAAUAGAAAACAUUUUGUUAGGCCCGCGUCACAGGGUGGGCUACGUUUCCUAUUUUCUUAAGAGAUAUUCAUAAAAGAAGGGUAGUAUUUGGAAUUUGAUGUUAGUUUAUGUAAAGUUUUUGUUUUUUUUAAUAUAUAUAUUGGGAAUGUAGUUUACAGGAAGUUGUAAAUGUAUCGAUGCUGAGGCUAUUUAUCCUAAACCAAAGCAUAUUUGUUUUACAUGUAAGGCUCCGUUUGUUUGCAGGAAAGUUGUUUCCUUUUGGAAAGUGAAUUCCGGGGAAAGUGAAUUCCGAGAAAGUAUUUUCCGAUGUUUGGUAGUGUUAUGGAAAAUGAACUGGAAAACACUUUCCAGUGUUUGGUUAUGUUAUGGAAAAUGAACUGGAAAAUAAUUUAUUAAUGAAUUAAUUUUUUUUCAAGUUUAUCUAAUAUAUAUUAAAUAUUUAAUAUAAAUAUUUAAUCACUUACAAUAAAAGAAUGAAAUCUAAAAAGUAUAAUGAUGAAUUUUUUUAUUAUAUCUUAUAUUCAUACAUAGCUUAUUUUAUAAAAUAUAACUAUAUAUGUCAUAUCAUAUUAUAGAGAAAUAAGCUUGUGAAAUAUUUUUUAAGUUAAAUAUAUUUUUUUUCAAUUUUAAAAGCUUAAAAUAAGUUUUUUUUUUUAUAUGAAGAAAGCCAAAUUAGUUUAUGGUAAGAGUUAUAUAUUACAUUAGAUUAACAACUAUUUUAAUUUUAAUUUUUCGUCACUGGGAACCAAUUAAAUUUAAUUUAGAAACAAAAAUGUCUUGUAAUUACAAUAAAAUGAUUUAUAAAAUCCUUAUGUUUGGAUGCUGGGCCACCCACCCCCCUAAAAAAACGUUCACAUGUUUGUUCACAUGUUUUGUGAACAAAAGAAAGGAAAAUGUUUUCCUUAAAAUAAGGAAAGGAAAACACUUUCCUGGCUUAAAGUGUAUUAUCUUCCUUUGACCGGAAUUUGAAUUCCUUUGACUAGUUUUCCUUAUAGUUGUCAAACAUUGGAAAGUGGGGAAAAUGGUUUCCAGGAAAAUGAAUUCCUGGAAACAAACAAGGCAUAAGGUUGAAGUGUGAUUAUAAACCCUUUUGAUUUGUACUAGAUUUUUUUUACCUGCGCUACGUUGUGGGAUGGGUUUAUUUUUUUAAUAUAAAAAAGAUAUUCAAAUAAUGAUAACAUGAGUGAAUUCAGAUUAACUUAACUAACCUGCGAUUCAAGUUAACCCUAGAGAAAUGAAAGGGAAAAAAUAGAAAGCUCAAGGCCUAAUAAAUCUAAUUUCAAAGGAUAAAAUUAAAAAAAAAGAAACAUGAAAGAAAAAAAACCCGAGUUAACCCAACUUUACUCUAUUAACCUACCACCCAUGACAUGAGAUUGGGAUAAGAAAUUUAAUUUUUUAAAAAUGACUUAGAAAAAAGGAUCAAAGCUAAAUAAAUAAAAAAACAUUGAAGAAAAACCAAGUCACCCUAGGUUAACCUAACAAACCUGUAACUUGAGAUAACCCUAUAGAAAGAAAUAAUAUAUAAAAUCAAAACCUAAUAGCCCUGCGUAAAAGGAUGAAAAAAAAAGAAAAAAAAAUCCAAUGCAACUUGUGUUAACUUAACUAACCCAUGACUCAGGAUAACCCUAGAUAAGGAAAGGAAAAAAAAAUAGAAAGCUCAAGACUCAAUACCCUAAAGUCAAAGGAUGAAAUUAAAAAAAUAAAACAAAUCAAAGUUAAAAUCAGGCUAAUCUUUAAAACCAUCAACUCUUGUCAUGAGACCAAGAUAACCUUACAAAAGACAAACAAAACUCUUCACCAUAAUAUUUUUUUUUAAAAAAUAGUAAUACAAUUAAUGAGGACCUAAUUUGAUCUAAAAACUAAUGAAAGAAAAUAAUAAGGGACUUAAUAAAAAAAUAAAAGGAUAAAAAAAUUUAAAAGAAUUAGGGCUAAAACUAGAUAAAAAAUGAAAUAAAAUGUUGAAGGACAAAUUGACAGAAAAAACAAAUUAAGAAAAGGAUAAAAAAAAAGCAAUUAUAAGAAUAAAGACCAAAAUUUGAUUAAAAAAAUAAAAUGUUAAGGGAAUAAUUGAAAGAAAAAAAGAAACUAAGAAAAAGGAUAAAAAAAAAGCAAUUAAAAGAAUGAGGAAUCAAUUUGAAAAAAAAAAGUGAAAUAAAAUGUUAAGGGACAAAAUUAAAAGAAAACAAAACAGGCCAUGAUAUGGAAAAAAAAUAGUAAAGAGAAUGAGUACUAUAUUUGAUAUAAAAACAAAACAAAAUCAAAUGAAAAAAGGAUGAAAUUGAAAAAAAAUCUAAAAAAAAAUCUAAAACAAUGAAAGACCAAUCAAAAGAAAGAGGAUUAUAAUUGAAAGACAAAAUGUAUUAGAGGACAACUUUGAUUUUUGGCUGACGUAGCACAAAUUUCAAGAAUUGAAAAGAGAAAACAAGGGGACGAAAAGAAAAGUCAACUGUCGACAAACCACCAUGAUUUGAGCAACACGCGCUACCCCAUAAGCUUUGCCUCCACCGGACACUUUAGACAAAAUCUUGGUUGGGAAAUUUUGGUCACUGCUUGACGAGCGCAGAUAGCGUCCACUCCCUAACACGCGUUGUUCACGGGCUAGUAGCCUUUUUUAAUUUAUGAAAAUAAUAAUUUGCCCUAAUCCAAAUAGAGUAUAAGAAAAACUAUAAUAAAAAUAGUAAAAUAUCCUUUGACCAUCUUUUUAUUUUAUUUUUACUUUGAAGUCGAUGAGGUAAUUGUACUAUUUGUAAAAAAAAAGAAAUUAUACAAAAGCUUUCUUAGCCUUUCAUAUUUUUUUUUUGUCUUUUAAAGGCAUUUAUUUAAUUCAAUUAUACUAAAACAAUGUAAACUACUAAACUUUCCCCAAUAAAAUUGCAAAUGAUCUUUGGGUUUUAUGGAAAAUACCAUUCUAGCACCACAAGUAAGGCAAAAACUUUAUACAAAGAAGGGCAAAAUAGUAAUUAUGCUGUCCAAGUCCAUAGUGAAUUACCUCAACAUCCACAACGAAACAAUGAUCAGUUUUAGAGUUUUUUUUUUAUAAUAUUUAUAAGAUAAUAUAUUUUAUGGCCUCACAUAGAAUUCAAAUGCUUAAUGAUAACUCAAAGAAAAAACUCAUUUGUCGACAAACUAAGCCUGCAAUAUUGUAAUUCUUUUGUUUCCUAAAUUAAGUGUAAAAGAUAAUUUUGUCCGUGAUCUAUUACACCACUUUAAAUAUGAUCCUUAAAAACAAAAAAAAAAUCCUACCAGGUCCCUCAUCUAUAGGAUAUUUACUUAUCAAUUCUCAAUUUAAUUUUUCCCCUUUAAAAUCAUAAAAAAAACUUAGUCAUUUUUUUCAAUGCAAUUGGAGCAAAUGAUCUCUUUUUUUCAUCUCUAUUUUUUUCUAGCGACUAUCUCUCAUCUCUCAUACAUAGAGACUAAAAUGUUGAAAAAAAAUAUCAAAGGACUAAAUCAAGUCGACAUUUGUUUGACAACGCAAUAACUCAAUGGUAAUCAAAUUGAUACAAAUUAUGAAACCUGGUCUAUAAUAAACACAAUGUCAAAAGAUUAAAUAAAAAAAUAAAAAAAAAAAUGAAAUCAAGAGCCACUCUAGAUUCCUUCUUAAUGUUUGCCCUUCAUGGUAUGUUGUUCUCACUAAAAUGGAUUUUAUGAAAUUUAUUAUGUUUUGCCUUAUAAAUGCAUGAAUUGAAGUUUAAUAAUCACAUUAAAACCUUACACACGAAAAACAACUUACCUGUAAUAAUAAUGGUAUCAGAAACUCUUUUGGUAAGCGAAUGGUUAUGGAUGUUAAGUCAUGACUUCGUCAUAGUAGAGCACCCUGUAGCUUUUUAAAAGAAAAAAACAAGGGACCUGUAAUGUUUAUGUUUGUUUGUUGCUGUGUCUAACAUAUACCACCAAUCGAUCUUGAAUCUGUGUUUAUAAUCACAGCUGAAAUUAUGUUUUUUUUUAAUUUUCUAUUUUUUUUAAUUUUUUUAUGUUUUUGAAUUGUUUUGAUGUACUGAUAUCAAAAAUAAUUUUUAAAAAAUAAAAAAUAUAUUAUUUUGAUAUAUUUCUGAGUAAAAACAUUUUAAUAAACAACCACUAAUAAACUUUCAAAUAUCAUCUUAACCAUACAUUUGAAUGGUCAUUCAAUAUUUCUAGUGUUCUUACUUAUUGGUGAAUUGAUGAUGCACAUGUUAUCAUCAAUAUUUGUAAUUUCAAAAUCACUUAUGUUGCUUCUACAAAAAAACCAAAAAACUAAUAAGGUUUUUUUUUAUCAUAAUUUUUUUUUCUUAUUUAGACUAUUUAUGAUAAGUGUUUUUUUAUUCAUUUUACGCUUUAAUUAAGAUUAAAAAUUUCUUUUAAACAAUUUUAAAGAUGCACUUCCAAUAUCCUGAUUACUAAAACAUAAAUCAAUCUUAAAAAAUAAUUUUUUAGCAUGCAUAAAAUGUAACUCAUUAAUUGUUUUUUCAAUUUUGAUUUAGUAUUGAAUAAGAAAACUUAAAAAGAUAUUUAUUAUACUAUAUUAAUUAAGUUUUUUUGUCAUGCUUCAUAACCCAUUUUUUACCCCCAGUUUUUUUCAUGUAUUUUCAAAUAUAUAAUUUUUUUAAAGAAUUUAUUUUAAAUGAAAUUUAGUCAAUUCCCAACGUUUUAUAUUUUUUUCAUUUUCAUUUAUUUUAUUUUAAGUGACAAAGAAAAAUAAAAAACUUAAAAACAAUAUAUAGUAAAAAGAAAAAUAAAAAAUUUAGGGAGUGAAAUCACAUGCAAAGGAAGAAAAAUGAAAGACUAGCAAAUGAAAAAUAAUAAUAAAUAAAUAGAGAAUCAAGAUGGGAUUGGAAAAACUGUAAAAAACAAAAAAAACCUAAUUCAAUAAGGAGAUAAAAUAGAAUCUUCCAAUAUUAUUAUUUUUUUUUGACAAAAACCCUUAACAAUAUAAAUAAACAUAAAAAAAAACCUAGAUGGAGAAAAAAAAAGAAGAAAAAACAUAAAAGGAGUCAACUUUAGAAACACAUAGACUAAGAGAGAGAUAAAAAAAGAGGAGAAAAGAUACAAAAAAGGGACAAAGAAAACCUUGCCACAUCUUUUUCAUCUUCUCUCCUCUCUCAAUCACAACUGCGAACCAUUGUUCUUUUCUCCCUCUUCACCACCAAUACCUCCACAAACAUCGACCAUGAUAGUUUCUCCCUCCACCACAUCUUUAUCUCUCUACCCGAUCACAAAACAUCCUUGUUAUUAACUAUAACCUUGGAAAUCAUAGCCACCACAUUAACUAAAAUCGCACUUAUCUCUCUUAUCAUUAUAAAACACUCCAUGGUAGCAACCCUUUGGCAUUCAAUAACCAUGAUCAUAACCAAUAAAGAGAAAAUUGACAAAUAAAAUUUAUCUUUUCAUGUCAACCUCCCUUUUCAGAUCACGACAAGCUUUAUCAUCAACGUAGAAAGGAAAAGAAGGAGCAUGAGAACUUGAUCUAGUAGGUUUAAGGUUUUCAACCUUGUCAUUUUGUACAGUUUAUGUGUUACUUCGUUUACAUGCUUGUCUAGCUCCUGCACAUGACUCCCAUCUGCCACGACUACCCGUUUUUUUAGUAUCUUUUGUUCGAUUCCAAUCGCUCUUGAAGGUCAAAUACGAAUCCUAAUACAUUGAUUCACUUGUUUUUAUCAAUUUGCAAUAUGUGGUUGAUUUCCUAUUCGUAGAUGUUGUAUUUGCCUACAAUGAUUUGCUUGUGUUGAGUAAUUUAUAAUACGAGGUUGAUUUUCUAUGUGUGGAUGUAUUUGUUUUUUUUAUUGUGAGAUUUGUGCUUUAAUUUUCUUAAAAUGAAAAGUUAUGUUUUAUUUUUAUUGAAGAAUUGACCUUGAGUAUGGUAAAAUGGUUUUGUCUUCAUAUGACCAUUUAAGUAUGGUAAAAUGGUUUUUAUUGAAGAAUUGACCUUGAGUAUGGUAAAAUGGUUUUUAUUGAAGAAUUUGCACAUCCAUUAAUUAGUCUUACUUUCAAACCCGAUGGUUUUUAUUGAAGAAUUUGCACAUCCAUUAAUUAGUCUUACUUUCAAACCCGAGUUAUGUUUUUUUCUUCAUAACCUUUUCAAUUAUGGACUGAAAAAAUAGAUUUUAAAAUCAAUUUAGGGGAUUUUUUUAUAAGGUUUUGGAAAAGAUAAGAAUAAUUGAUUUAUAACUUGCAAUUUAGGCAAAAUCACAUCACAAGUAAAGAGAAAAUGAAUCGAUUGAAUAUGCAAGACUAGGCUUUAGUUUUUAUGAUAUUUUGUGUUCUUAGAUAGGAGAGAAGAAAGAGAUUAUAUUUUUAAAUUAAUUUGGGAUUUUUUAGGAGCAUAUUUUGGCUAUUUAUGUUAUAUUAUAUAGGAGGGUAGGUUUGGGUUGUUUAUGUUCACAAGUGCCUUUUAAAAAUAUUUUGCUUGUUGGUUUUUUUUUUUGCCCCUUUAGUCUGAUAGUUCUAUGUUUUGAUAUAAAACUUUAUUUAAUUCACAUUCCAAUUCCCGGGUUUGAAAAAUGAGAUUUAUUGGAAAAUUAUGGAGAGAGAAAGUAAUGGAAUGGUGAGAUUUCGUUGAUAAAAGGUUAAAUUUGGUGUCAAUGUGUUUUUCUUGGCAUAAGAAGUGUUAUUGAGGUAUUUUUGAGCUUUUAUGUUGUUAGAAAAAAUAGAUCGAGGUUAAGAGAAUUUUUUUUUUUAUGCUUUUGAGUUAAUUUAGAGGUUUUUAAGUUGAUAAAUAAAUUUAUCGUGAUUUAAAGGGUAUUUUUGGAAGUAAAAAAAUUGAAAUUUAAUUUUUUAAGUCCUAAAAAUCCUAGCUUGAUUUUCCACCAUCUCUCUAAUGGGUGAAAUUUGAACUCACAAAUAACACAUCAUCUACUUUCUUUUUUAACUCAUUAAAAAAGUCUAAAGGCAUGAACAUGGCCUACUUUUAGGUUUCUUUUUAAUUUCUUUUUAAUUGAAAUUUAAUUUUUGUAAUAUUAAAUAAUUUAAAAUAUUUUAGAUAUUAUUUUAUUAAAUGCCUUUAAAUUUUUACCUUGUUUCUGAAAAAAUAUAUCAGUCUUUUUAUAACAUUAAGAAAUGUUUUUUUUACAACUUAUAAUGAUUUUUUAUAAUUUUAUUUGGUUUCUUUUCCAUGUGCAUGUAUUUUUGCCAUCAUAUAAUUAAAUAAAACGAUAAUUUUUAAAAAAUAAAGUUAUUAAAAUCAAUAAGAUGUGUGAGCUUGAAUCAUGAUUUUAGUGAGUUAACUCAAGUCAAUCCAAGAUGUUUUCAUCUCAAUAUUUUUUAAAAAAAUGUCAUCUUUAAUUAAUUUUAAACAAAAUUAAUUUUUUAUUAGUUACCGAGAUUACCUUUGAACCCUUUAGAUUGAGCAGAUCAUAUCAAAUUAAUUUUCACAUGGUUUAAUUUAAAAUUUAGAUAAAAAUUUAAAUUAAAGGUUUUAAAAAUUACUUAACCCUAUUAAAGAAUCCACUAUAACAAUACAAGAACAUUGUUUUUCCAGCUGUGAUGUCUUUUAGUAAGGAAACGUUUCAGAAUGUAAAUGAUAUUUUUUAAAAAAUUAAUUUUUUUUUGUUUAAAUUUAAUUUUUUUAUAUUUUAUUUUUUUUUGAAAUUUUAAUAUUAAAAAUAACUUAAAAAUUAAAAAAUAUUUAAUUUAUUUUUAAACAAAAUUAUUUUUAAAAAAACCACCACUAAUAUAAUCUUAAAUAUUAUAAAAAAUGCAAAAACAAUAUAAAACACAUUGUAUCCAGAAAGAAAAUAAGAAGACGACUCGCACGCGCACACUGAGAGAGUCAGAUAUUUACCUGCAAAAACAGAAUGAUGAACAAAAAAACCCAUUUUUGAUAAGCUAAGAAAGAAUUCAAAUCUCGCUCUCGUUGGGUUUUAAAUCUCAUUUUCGGAGCCAAAUCCAUUUCUAAAACUUUUUCUUUCUUUUGUUGGCUAAUGUAGGUUGCCUUCUGUUAAUGUUGAGGUUUUGUUUUGUCUAGUUUGGUAUCAUAAUUCUCUUAUGAAUCAGUUUCCCAUGGAAUUCCAUUGAUUUGAUUUAUUAGAACAGAUAGGUAAGAAUUGAAUUCCCUUUCGUUAUUUGAAAGGAUAAAUGGGUAUUAGUGCAUUUGGGAUUUGAUUGAAAUUUAAAAACUGGGUUUUGUUUUCAGGAGUAAUUGCUGGUGGGUUUUGCGACUUAGACCCUGAUUUUGAGGAAACAGGGGGUUUCUUUCUUUUGGUUUGGCAUUGCAUAAGGAGAGGGGAAGUAGAGUUGUAGGUAUUAAAAAUCAGGAGAGAAGUGGGUUUUGGCUUUUGACAGAGAAUGAUUUGUAUAGGAGAAAAGGUGACAUGAGAAGUAGAGUUAUUGUUGGUCCAGAGGUACAAUGAAUGGAGGGUCAUUCGGUCAAAGGGGGAGUUAUGGAUCAUUGCCUUGCUACGGAAAAUUAUCAAAUAUUGCACGAAAACAAUCUUCGAAAAUGCCGCCAGUGAGUUCAAGGGACAAGGAGCGGGUUCUCCUGGUUGUUUGCCGGUGCUUGGGGCGUAGAAGAGUUGCAAUGUUGCUCUUGGUUGCACUUGCUCUCCUAGUUUUCAUCUGGGGUUCCCUUACAGUUAGCAAAGGUAUGGUUCAAACAUGUGUCCUUUCCUAUGAUGUAAAAUGUUUGAGUGUUUUAUGUAUUCUUUUGUUCUACCUGUCCUUAUAUUUUGGUACUGUUGCACUGAGUUACAGGAGGAUGAAAGUUUUCUAAUUACAAGGAAAUAAUCACUUAACAAAGGAAUAGUUUAGGCACCUAUUUAUUAGUUCAUGCUGACUAUUCUAUAUUUAACAGAAAAGAUAAAAUGUAGUAGUGUUUUAAUUCUAUGAGCAUCUUUUAAUUUUUCCUGUUGUUUGAAUGGAAAUGUUUAAGUCAUGUAUUAUUCAUGUCUUGAGAGCAGCUGUAGCAUGCAGUGAGGAGGGGGGGUGGGGAACAAGAAAUAAAGAGGUGGAGGUGGUUCUUCAUGAAUUUUGGUUCCCAUAUAGGUGUGGGCCAUGAUUGAAUAAUGGCCUUGUUUCUAUUAGUUCUCAUUCUGUGCUAAAUCCUUGACAGGAAAGCUGACAGCCAGAGAGUCUUCUUCUUUCUCUCUCUCUAUUUUCAAUCUUGAAUGGAAAGCAUACGAAGACAAAGUUGUCUUCUUGAAUUUAAAACAGGAGAUAAUCAAUCGAUUACAAAUAUUGAUCAGAAUGAAAGAUUCUGUUAUCAAGUUAUUUUUCUGCAUUUAAUUGAUGAUGUCAAAGUCCUGAAAUACUUGGGAUUUUUACUGCUAUUUGUUUUGCUUUAGACUGGUUGAGGCAAUAACUAAUGUGCAUUUUGUGUUAUGGAUGCCCCAGAAACCACAAGUCCAACUGUUAGACCAAUGGAUAGUAUACAUUUUGACAACAGUGAUAUAAUAAGCCAUCCUUCUGUUGCCUGUCGUUCUAGAGCUAAUAGCAUAUUGGACCAUCCAUGCCACAAGUUUGCUCUCCCUCCUCCCCCUCCUUCUGGUGGACGACGGUUUGGACCACGCCGUAAGUUUUGGGUUAUUUUGGUUGAAGUGUUCCUUAUUUUCUUGUUUUUCUGAUCAUUCUAUUAAUAUAUUGGAUUGGACCAUAAGUUUGAGUUGCUACAUCUGUGCGUCAUUUGGAAGUAAAAAAUGACUUCUGGCCUGAAUGUUACUAAAAGUCAUGUAUAUAAUUUUUCUUGCACCAAGAAUGUGCUCUCACAUUUCUGUAACAGAGAAAACUGGCAUGUUUUUGCAAUUAAUGUUAUUAUCUUUCUCAUCAGUGUUUGCUACAGAAGACCUCUUGCAUGUUCAAUUGUAAAUUGAUACAAAAUAACCCUCAAUACCUUUGUAUAAAGUAUGCCAAAAUCUACUCUCUUAGUUGAAGCAAAAAAGUGCUCACAUGCAAUUUAUUUCUGUUGGUGUGGUAUUUACUUUGUUGUCACUCAUUUGUUAUGCAGCUUGUCCAGUAUGUUACAUUUCUGCAGAGCAAGCUAGAGCUAGCAUUCCAUGCUCCUCAUCUGCAUCACCAGUGCUCCGCAACUUAACAUACGUUGUUGAUGAAAACCCAAUUAAAAUUGAAUCACAUGGAGGUUCAGAAUUUGGUGGAUAUCCUUCUCUAAAGCAGAGGAAUGAAUCUUUUGAUAUACAAGAGUCGAUGACAGUGCACUGUGGGUAGGAGUCCUUCUCACCUAUCAUCUUUCUGUAAAAUUAUAAGCAUUGAAGACUGUUUUGCAUGGAUCUCAUGAUCUCUGUCCUCCGUUAUUAUACAAUGUCCUGUAACAAAUACGAAUAACUUAUUUCUUAUAAACACAUAUUUUUCUGUUGGCCGUAUUUUUUAUCAGAUUUGUUAAAGGAAAUAGACCUGGCCGCCAGACUGGAUUUGAUAUUGAUGAAGCUGACCUGAUGAAAUUGGAAGAGUUUCACGAGGUCAUUGUUGCAUCAGCCAUAUUUGGUACUGUUUAGCACUGGACAUUCUGCAAAGAUUUCUUGUUUUAUCCAUGUUUUCUACUUUCCUCAUCAUUGCACUUUCCCAGGGAACUAUGACAUAAUACAACAGCCCAAGAACGUUAGUGAAGCAGCUAGGAAAAAUGUUCCUUUUUAUAUGUUUAUUGACGAAGAGACAGAAACAUAUUUGAAGAAUUCCAGCGCCCUAGAUAGCAAUAUGAGGAUCGGACUGUGGAGGAUUAUUGUCGUCCAUAACAUCCCCUACACUGAUGCAAGACGCAAUGGAAAGGUCAGUUUGCAUUUGUUUGGUUGCUUUGCCUGCUUCUUUCAGAUUUCUCUCUUUAAUUUCCUUGGGCAUCCAAACCUGGGCUGGAUUACAUCACUUUCUUCUUAAUUUUUUUUCUUCCCCUUGUUCUCCUGCUUCUCUGUUAACUCAUUGAAAACAAAGCUAUCAGUUUGUUAACAAAUUUCUGUUUAUCUCUUGGUGAGUCUUCAAGUAAUUUCAAUUUUGGUGCUAAUCCUAGCAUGGCAGAAUUUCCUGAAUAAAUUUCUGUUGAUAUAUUAAUCUAAAAGAUUUUCCUUUUUUUUUCCUUUUCAUUUUUGUUUUGGGCUAUGAUAUUCAAUAGUACCUCAUACUUCAAGUCAUUUUCUUUUCAAUUACUGAAAACCUAAAAUGUUGCUGCAAGAAGUGAUGGAUGCUGUCGUUGUGCUAUGUAAAUGGACAGGUUCCAAAGCUUUUAUUGCACAGGCUCUUGCCUAAUGUUAGGUAUUCCAUAUGGAUAGAUGGAAAGCUCCAGCUUGUUGUGGAUCCAUAUCAAGUUCUUGAGAGGUAUAUUGUUUGUGCUUAAAUUAAGUGGUCAUUGAAUGGAGUCAUUCAGAUAUGUAAAAUGGCUUGUGAAUUCAGUGCAUCUUUUUUUUUAAUUUUUCUGGUAUCUUCAAAUUGAGAUGUAUGGAAAUUUUGUUGUACCUGUGUGUGUAUACUCAUUUUCUUCUGUUAUCUGUCACUGUACCAAUUUCUGGUCCCAACAUGGCAUCACUUCAAAAGUUAUGAACCAUCAUAAGUUUCAUUGGUUCAUCAAUAGGCAACUUACGGGAUUCUGGAAAAAUGCAUGGAAAAUAUAAUUAUAGCCGUAUGCUCUUUUUAUCAGCUGUCUUGCAAUGUUAACAUUAUUACACUGUUAUUGAUCCUACAUUUUCAUUUAAAGCAUUCAAAAAAGGAACUGCUUUUCUUGCUUGGGACAUGGGAAUGUCAUCUUUCUGUUGGUUUACAGUAACUCAUGCUUUGGCAAUGUGUUCUGGAUAUGUUGACUCAUGUUAAGACAGUUUUUUUAGUGUUAGCAUUUACCAUAUAGAUCUUCAUGCAUAUUGCAUUUCUGGCCUCUAGAAGAAGGGGAAAUAGGUAGAUAAUUUUAGUAUAAUUGCAUAAUCUAUGUGUUUGAAUCAUACCUGAGCUGUCCUUUGGUUCAGAUUCUUGUGGCAGCAAAAUGCCAGUUUUGCAAUCUCAAGACACUAUCAUCGCUUUGAUGUGUUUGAAGAGGCUGAAGCUAACAAAGCUGCAGGAAAGUGUGACAAUUCAUCCAUUGAUUACCAGAUUGAAUUUUAUAAAAAAGAGGGUUUAUCGCCAUAUUCCAAGGCUAAGCUUCCAAUAACCAGUGGUAGGUGUAUAAUCCUAUGUGUGUGCGCACGCGCUUCAUGUUCUUGAAGAUUUGUAUUUCUUAUGUUUUCUGCUCAAUGACUGACCUUUUGCAGAUGUUCCUGAAGGUUGUGUUAUCAUAAGGGAACAUAUUCCCAUCACAAAUCUGUUUACCUGCCUGUGGUUCAAUGAAGUUGAUCGGUUUACUGCCAGAGAUCAGUUAAGCUUCUCCACUGUGAGGGAUAAAAUAAUGGCUAAAGUUGAUUGGAGCAUCAAUAUGUUUUUGGAUUGUGAGAGGCGUAAUUUUGUGAUUCAGGUACAUGUUUAUGUGUUGUCUUUCUAUUAUCAGGGGAGAUGAAACCAGUGCAUCUAAAACUAAGCAAUUUGUUAUUGUUCUGCUCUAAAUGAACCUUAUAAGUGAACUUUUCUAAUGAAGUUGGCCAAAAAAGCUGAAUGACUUUAAUUUUAUUGUUAUAUUAACUUAUGUAUUUUUUUUCCUUCCAUGUUUAACAUUGAGCAGCACCUCCUUCCUCUGUUGAAAGAGGAAAGUAUGACAAUUUAUUAUUGGUCUGCUCUAUGUUGCCUGUUUGUCUUAUUUAUUAUUGGUCUGAUUUUAGCCGCAAAUGUUCCUUGUUUCCCAAACACAGAGUUCUGGCAACUAAAUGGAUCCUCUGACAACAGUGUAUUGAACAAAGCUGUCCAGCUACUAUAUACAGUGCACGAGACUGAUCUCUAUGGGUGUCUUUGAUCCCUUCUCUAUUUUUUGAUCCUCCAAGUGUUUCUUUGGGUGUUUAAUGUGGUUACUCCAUGCAUUUUAUCAUGUUCUCCAUACAAGUGACAUUUGAGGCUAAAUUCCGUCCUGGGAGUGCAGCUAGUAUGCUUUGACCAAAUGAUGCUAAAAGCAGGAACGAUCAAAUAAAAACAAUCUUUAAUGGGGAUAAUUAACUUGGAUUUAAAAAAUAAAACUCCUAUGCUUUGGGAUGCUAAAUCCUACUACUAUUAGUUUCUCUGUAACAAAAUGCCACUGUUUUAUGGUACUUUUAUGCCACUUGAUUUUUCUUUUGACUUGCAGGCUUACCACAAAGAUUUAUUGGACCACAUGCCACCUCCAGUUGCUCAUGUUAUUCGACAUCCACCACCAUUACAUCGUGAUAGUUCAGCUGGGAGAAACCCAAGUAAAAAUUCAAGGCGUGGAAGAGAUAGGAGAUCUGGUUCAAGGCAACACCGCAAGGCUGCUGCGGGUAACAGGGAGAAGCAAACCUUUUUGUAGGAGAGGUAAAAGUAGGUGUUUUUUAUUUUUUUUCAUUAUACUGCACGGGGAAGAUGGAUUUGGUUAGAAGUAUUUAGAAUGACCCAAAAACAAAAGCAACCGAAAUUUUGUUUGAAAUUAUUGAUAUCUCAUAUUCUUUCAUUGUUGUAAAUACUUCAUACCAAAUAAGUCCACACCAGCUGCAAUCAUUGAAUGCUUCUUGAUUUUCAUUUACUUGGUGCACGAACAUGCAUUGGCCAUCACUUGUGUAUCUUGAAAAUGUCAGCUUUCAUGCUUUAUGCGUUGUCCAGUUAUAGAAAUGGAAGAUAUACUUUCUACAUUGGCCAUCACUUGUGUAUCUUGAAAAUGGCAGCUUUCAGGCUUUUUGCGUUGUCCAGUUAUAGAAAUGGAAGAUAUACUUUCUAUCCUCUAUACAAUAAAUACCGUGCCAUCCUGAGUGCGGAGCGACUAAUCCUUGUUCUUAGGAGUGUUGUUCAUCUUCUCUUUUGAGCUAUUAAGAUGCACUGCUUAUUCUGCUUUUCUAAGCUUGAAUCUGAUCUUUCCUUCAUGUGUUCUUCCAAGGUUUUGGGAAUGAGUUGUUUAAUUCUAGGGCAUUUGUAAGAUGAGAAAAUCUUAGUGUUUUCAGGCCUACGGAAUGUUUCCUAACCUGUGACUGUACAAGUAAAUAGGAAGAUUUCUGAACUGGCCUCGUCCAUGCUCUUACCUCAAUACCCAGAUUGAAAAUUUUGGUACCCUAUAUGUUGAAUCUCAUGUUUCUCCACUCUUAUCAAAUCCUCAACUAAAUUCAAAAGCAGGAAUUGAAAGUGGAAGGAUAGAUUAUCCUUCAACCCUACAGACAGCACAUAACAUGAUCCUUCAACCCUACAGACAGCACAUAACAUGAAAGGGUCUCACAGGAGAGGAGAGGAGAGGCCUAUCAGCAAGAUACAAGUUCCAGUGGUGAGAAUCGACCAUACACUUAAAAUAACAUACAAUGAAGUAUACCUGCAAAAUAUAACAGCUGUAUUGAAUACAAUAAUGGCUUCUUCUCUGUGAUGAUAAUAUAAUAAUGUGGUUUUGUCAUUCGAUUUGCAUACAGAACAGAGCAAUACAGCUUGAGAUAUGUUAAAAGUAUUCUAUGGAUCCAUUUUUUCAAGUGCAUGCCGAAAGCACUUUUGACAAUUAAAAGCAACCUCAAGUUUUAGCAAGUUCGAGUUAAACUAUAAAGGUUCACACUUUUUAGGCAUUGAUUCUCAUUUUCUGUUAAUUAUUUCUUACUCUUACAGUUCAUUUUAUAAACAAUUUUCUUAAUUCGAUGAUAAAAGAAAUAUCUUCCUAGUAUCAGUUAAAAUUUGAUAACACCUGCAGCUCAACUAAUAAGAUGCAUCGAAGAUGAUGUUGAAGUUAACAAAUUGUCAUGACACUUCCUGUUAGCUUUUUUCUCUUGUUUAAAAUUAUUAUUUUGAAAUUAUUUUAAUAAGCUAAUAUUAAAAAUAAAUUUUAAAAAAUAAAAAAAAUAGGACAUGAUAAAAGUUAUAUUUAUUACACCCUCUGUAGAUUUCUCGUGAGGAAGAAAGGUCGUGUGAACUUGAUCCUCCUACAUGACGAUACAUGGAUUCUAACUUCCAAAAAGCAAAAAUAAAAAAUUCCAAAAAGAGCUUUUCUUCUACAUUUAAGAUAAUUAGAAACACAAAGGGUAGAGGGUCGGCCAGUGAACAUGUGACCCACAAAUGUGGGAUUGCUAAGCACAAGAAGCAAAGAAAGGCAUAAAAAAACGAAGGCAUUUUGUGCAUGGGAGGAAGGUAUGGUAUGGGAUUAUUGAGAGCAAGAAAUCUCUAUGGAUUGCCACUUGAAAGGAUAUAAAACACCAAAUUAUUGCUUUCUCUACCACCUCUCUGUCCAAAUCUACAUACCUUAAUUAAAUAAGUCUGAGCCCACAGAAUUAUUAUAUCCAUUAAUUUAGCUCAAUUAUUAUAUCACCCAUAAAUGUCACAUCCAGAUCAGCACCAAUAAUUUUACCUUCCGUUCCAGUUUCAUUUCCCUUCAAUUUGUUUACAGCUUUAGGGUUUUGGGAUGCAAAAGGGUUUCCUGGAUCUGUCUCUCAACAUCUUGAAUUUGAGGUUAGGAUCCUAUAGUCUUUUAUUGGUGGAUUAAAGGGGUCUUAUAUUGAAAUUUGAGGUGGGGUUUAUGUGGGUUUUUCUUGUUUAAUACACUUUGAUUCAAGAUUUGUUUUCUUGGUACAAUUGGUGGGGGAGAUCAAGUUAUGGUCUUGAUUAAUGGGUUUAUCUUGGUUUUUGAGUCUUGGGUUGCUAUCGAAUUCUGGGCUUUAAAUCUUGAUCAAUGAUUCGAUCGUCUUUCUUCAAGAUCACACAUUUAAAAAAGUAGGUUUGAGGGCUCUUUCAAUAGGGUCGAUGUUACUCUUUUCUUGUAUUGUACUUUGGUAGCUAUGGUUUAAAGGCCUUUUCUUGUUGGGUUGAGCCAUUGUUUCUGAUAGAGUUAAAGAAAGGAGAGGGGAGAGUAGUUCUUUUUGGUGCUUGAUUAAAUGGGAUCCUCUGGCUUCUUUCUGAUAUGUAUGCUUCAUUCUGUGAUGGCUCUAACUUGUGGAGCUUUGAUGAUGUUUUACACAAAUGAGGCCACUGUGUUUGGUCAUGGCAUUGAAAUAGCUACAAAGCUUAAAGGUUCAACACCACAUGACCAACUCCUGGUCCAAACCUCUGAUUCCUUUUCUGGGUUGCUAUUGUUUGCCAUUGGGUUCCUUUUGUUCAUGGUGGCAUUUGUUAAGGACAGAGAGUUCCAGAGUUUCUUUGCUAAAGGUUGUGUCUUGCUACAUGUUUCAAUGGCUUUCUGGAGGAUUUACUUUGAGAGGAAGCUUGAAGAUCUGGCUCGUGAUUUGCCUAGACUAGUUGUUGGUGACAUUGCAUUGGCUCUUUCUUGGGUUUUCUUUCUUGUUUAUUCUUGGAGAGAGAAGUAUGAUUAGCAAGCUACAAGAGUCAGAUAGCCAGUCCAUCAUCGAAUAAAUUUGAGCUGUUAUUGUGGUAGCGUUACGGGUUCUGCCAAGUGGGAUCUUUUUUCCUGGCUCUGUUCUGUAAAUUACAGGGUGAAUCUGGAACUUUAAAGAAAUGGACGCAAAGCAUGGAUCGGAUUCUUGGUUAGUGCGCGUUUUAAAUUCUUGAUUGGAUCUUGAACAAGCUUGGAUUCCAAGAAAAGCUGGAGAUGAGAUCUGGGGGCUGCCAUUUUGUUUUUAAUUGAGAAUCUUCAACUUGAGAAGUUUCUUGCACUUACUGUGGUGCCUCUGUGGGCUUCUUGUAUUGAAUUUCAAUGGCAUUUGUAAAUCAACCUUCUUCAAAUAGAUAUUUGAUAAUAAUUAGAAAUGUGAAUCCCAUAAAAGUUUACUCGUUUGCUGCCAUCUCUUACUUUCCUGGCAAUCUUUUCUUGCUAUUUUUCCAGUCUAUUUGAUUUACUGAUAUUGCAAUUUGCACGCAUCCGCAGCUUUGAGUUUGGGACAAAACUAUGCCAAGACAUUUCCAGGAUUUUGUUAAGCAAUCCGAGGGAGGAAUGAUUUGUCUAAUUAAUCAAACGGCAAGAACUGUAAAUGGAGUCACACCAACUUUUAUUUUUUUAUUUUUUGGUUGUAUAUAUUAUAUGAAUUCUCAUCAUAUUAUAUCAUAUUAUUCGAGCUAUUUCCUCUUUGCAUUUCAAGAAUAAUUUGGAAAAAAAAAUAAUUUUAUUUAUUUAUUUUAAAUUAAUAAUUUUUUAAUAUUUUAAUAUUAUUUUGAUAUAUUGAUAUUAUUUAUCAUCAUAUUUUACAAGUUAUUUUGUAUUUGUAUUUUAAAAAUAUUUUUUUAAAAAAAUAUUAUAUUAUUACUAUUUUUAUUUAUUUUAAAUUAAUUAUUUUUUGGUGUUUUCAUAUUUUUUUAAUGUAUUAAUAUUAAAAAUAAAAAAAAUAUUAUUUUAAUAUAUUUUUAAAUAAAAAUUAUUUUAAAAAAUAAUUAUUAUUAUAAAAUCAAACAGAAUUUUAAUCUUUUAAUUUAUUGAAGAUUGACCUUAAUUUUUGUUGCAAACAUAAAAAAAAAAAGUUAUAAAGAAGGGGGAUUAUACGACUUCUUAUCUUUUCCGAUGCUGAAAUUUUAUCAUUCUAAAAAUAAUAAUUAUUAUUCCUAUAAUAAUAUUUUUUAUUUUGAAAAAUAACUCUUAAAUUUAUAUGGAAGGAAAACUAAAAUUUAUUGAAAAUUAUUUUUAGUUGGUUUGAGAGUGUGAUUAUUUUUUAAAAUAUUUUUAAUUUAAAAAUAUAUUAAAAUAAUAUAUUUUUUAUAUCAUCAAAUCAAAUAAUCUAAGAAAAAUUAAUUUUAUUAAAAAAAAAGAUUUAGCUUCUGUUUCAGCCGCAAUCCGAGUGCUUAUUCUACGUUAAAAAGAAAAGUAUAUGCUGUUAUUGGACCAUGAAGGCUCGGCCCACGGACGCCACAACAUCUUGUCUAGGGACCCGUUUCUUUCUUCUUCUUCUUCUUCUCUCUCUCUGAAGUUUCUAGCAUUCAACCACAACAGAAACCCUGCAGAGCCCCAACUCCUGAAACCUUUGACAAAAUUCUAACGGUAACUUAUUCUUUUCUUUUGCUCUUUCUAUGUUUCCUUGUGUUCAUCUGUUCAUUUAUUGUCUUUUAAGUUGUAGAUGGUCUGUUAUGGUUUAGUGUUUUGCUUUGUUUCUGGUUUUAUUGUUUGAAUAAACUUUUUUCUUUUUCUUUUUUCAGAAUUGUUAUUUGCUUUUGUUUUUUCUUUAAUUCUAAUUGUUAUGAGGAAAGGUCAUCAAAAGCUCAAAUGGUUUUAUCUUGAAGAUGAUUUUUUAGUCAAGAAUGCAAUUUUGUAAUGGCAAAUGAUUAUAAUUGGUAUCAUUAAUUGAUUUUGGUUUCUGGGUAUAUGUUUUGCAUAAAUUUCAAUAUUUAGGUUCCGUUUUAAAGAAGAUACUGUAGUUUUCAAGAUAGUUGAGAAACUGAGAACAUGAUAGACAUGAUCUUUCACUGCUAUGAAAAGGAUGAUCAUGCCGGAGUUCUUAGAGAAAAAGGUCGGAUUUUUACUCGAGGAAAAUGAAUUAUUUAUUUUUUUAAAAAAAAAAGUUUGGUUACUUGAAGUUAUUGAUUGGGAAGCUUUCAUACUGUUGGUUCUGAACUUGGGUGAAGCGCAAUUUUGAACUUUUUAAGUUUCUAUUUUCUGUAUGUUGAUUUUGGGUAUAUAGUUAGUCAGUUGCAUAGAGUACUGCUAUAUAACACAAAAAUAAGUUAGCGAAAAGUUCACAAGCAGAUAAAGUGGCCAGAGAAGUGAUUUCGUUCAACUUUUGGGCUAUUUAUUUUUUGUGCCUGUUCGUGUCCUAUUUGUUACAAAAUAUUCGUGUUAUACAGCUUUCUUCAAUUGGGUAAUUGAGAAGCUUGGUUGAGUUAAGUUGCUUCCUGGAUUUAAAAAGAAAUGGGGUGUCUUUUUUGAGUGGUUGUUUCCUUGAACCCAUAUAUAAGUGCAUUUAUAUUAGGCUUUUGUGAUUGCUUCUCAUGACUGUGUCAGAAUCAGAUUCAUCGGUUUGAUUGAGUAUAAUGUUGACAGAUUUUUGGCCAAAUGUCUAAUUUUUAUGAGGGGAAAUGGGAAUAUGAACAAAAACAAACCUUUCAUGUUGUUGAUUUACCACGCGGAGUACUUAAUCAGGUCUUAAGUUUCUGUCUUAGUAAGCAAAACAGCACUUAAUGGUAUGGCAGUGUUUCAAAUUGUUUGAUGGAGUCGGAUAUCAUACUGAAUUGCUUGUGCUAUGAGCUGCAUUAGAAGGAUGAUUAGUGAUCCCUUUGUAGGAAAACAAAUUGGGAUAUGAGCAAAUCUCAUAUGGUGGAGGACAGUCAUGCAAUGGAACAUCUGAACAAAAAUUUUGAAUUGUUUUAGUGGAGUUGAUUGAUUGGACAAUUUGUAGAACAAGGACUCCAGGUGGCAAAGGCAUUAAUUGGCAAAAAGAGAGAAAAGAAAAGGUGCACUUUUUUCUGAUGAAGAAAAAGAUGUCUCUAUUCACAACAGAAAAAAUCUCCUCUUUUUUUUUUUUCUGAUGAACCAAGCAAUUGCAAGCAGCUAGUAAUGAACAACAAACAAUACAGUAAUGAAGAAAUAGAUGUCUCUCUAUUCACAACAGAAAAACUCUCCUCUAGUGAAUUGUAUAAUCAUUGGAAUUAUAACAACGAAAAAAAACCUAUGUAAUGAGUUUAUAAAUAGAGUAGAGGCUCUUGAAUGAUUUUCUUCAUUCCUUUCUUUAUUUCUUUAUGCCUUACAUGUGUUUUCUGCAGAUUUGUGAUGGGUGGACUGCCUUUGCAAAAUGCUUCCCCUACCCCAGUUGUCAGCCAGGUGUCAGUAAUUACAAAUUCUACUAAAGAAUCAAAGCCCAAGAAGAAGAUCUGCUGUGCUUGCCCUGAAACUAAGAAACUAAGGGACGAAUGCAUUGUGGAGCAUGGUGAAGCUGCAUGCGCAAAAUGGAUUGAGGCUCAUCGACUGUGCCUCCGUGCUGAGGGCUUUAACAUUUGAGUUUGGUAGAUAUGGUUUAGUUCAUAAAUCAAUACCAUUUUGGAAUAUAGAAUACUUGUUUUGGAAUUACACAUACUGAAUAGGAGGAAUAAAGCUAGAAAACACAGGUUUUCUUGACCUUCUGUACUUGCAGUCAUUUUUAUCUUCUUGAAUUAUGAUUUCUUUCCUUCCUCUGUGACAAUUGAAAAUGAUCAGAAUCCUUGGGUGGGGUUGAUAUUGUGUUGUCUCUUCUCUUUGUCAGUGUUAUCUGAUUAUUUUUUGAACCUGUGAUUUUACAGGCAGAGGAAAGUUGUUCCUCUGAUGUAUUGCAUUCCUUACAUGCCAAUAACUCUCCCAUUUGUGAUUCCUUAUUUAAAUUCCAUUACGGUGUUAUGUAUUGUUCUGAACUUCUGAUGAUAGAUUAUAGACUCUCAUCUCGUACUUAUGCAAGCUUAUCCUCACAUGUUGAUUGUUAUCCUUACAAGUAGCAGUUGCUAAGGAUGAAGUGAAAAGUUAUAAUCUGAAGUGUAUUGUCCAGAAUUAGACAUUCUCAUCAACUUUGCUGCAACCUGAAUUAUCCUCUCUGUCACUUUUGAGCCAUUAUAUCUCCCUUGAACUCAAGUGAGCUUGUCGAAGGGCUGAGAAGCAACUCUGAGAGGAUAACUCUGGGUUAGAACGUCUAACUUGGACAAUGCAUCUUCAGACAAUAACAUCUCUUAUCUUCUUAUUUCAUCUUUGCAACUUCUAAUCACUGCAUGCCAGGCCAGUUCUAUCUUCUUUGUCAAUAUCGAGAACAGAUUCUCCUAGUUUUAUAACUCGCGAGUUCUAUCUUUUUUAUUCAUUGCUUCCUAUGCUAAUUGUCAUUUAGUUCAGAGAACAGAUUCUCCUUUUUUUUUUUUCCUUCCUUAUCUGUGUCCAUUGGCUAUAAAAUGGAAAAGGUAAAUAAGAAGAGAAAUCUAGACGUGUGAGUUCAAAGAGUUGGUUGACUGCAAGAAUUUCAAACUGGAAGACAUAUUAGGUCAUCUUUCAUGGUAUUUCAAAGCUUGUACACUACAUUUCAGAUUGUUUGCCAAAACUUCAGUGAUGAAACAGGAAAAUGGAAAAAACCCAGUCUUCUUCUCAUGUUUCUUUUACGUUUUAUGUUUGUAGUCUAGUGAUAAGUUUAUGCCCCUCCUUUAUGGUAUUUGCACUAUUUUGGUCGUUCUACAUGCUGCGGUUAAUUUUCGAUUCUAUUUGGUUUUUACUCAAAAUAAAAAAAUAAUAAUAAUAAUAACUAAACCAAAAGUUUUUAUUAUUUUAAAUUAAUAACCGAAACUGGUUCAAACUAGUUAUUUUAGUUCGGUUCAGUUAAUUGAAGGAAAAAACCGAUUUAAUAAAACUAUCGAGUGUUAAAUCCCCUGCUGCGAAUCACUUCAUUCUAAUCCAGAAAUAGCAUAUUAUCCCGAACGUAAAUAAUAGGAGUAAUAGCAUAAAAAGGAAGGAAAAAAAAACAUAUUUUCUCCCGAUGGAAGCGUAAGUUUCUUCAAUAGGCUUUGUCCAUUGCAGAAGUGUUCCACCAGCGUCCAACAAUAAUGCAUCAUAUGCUUUUUUAACAUACUUUAUUGCUCCUGUAAUGUAAUGAAACAAAGUGAACGAAUCUGAUCUAUUGAAAUAGUGUACGCAUUUAUAUAUAUGUACUAAUAAAUAAAUAAAUAAAUAAAGCACUAAGUAGAAAGGAAAAGUGACCAGACCAGCAGAGUGGAUGGCAAUGGAAGAAGAGCUUGAUAGCUUCAAUUUGAUAGGUUUCAGAGCUUUAAGCAAAUAGUUCCCAUGACAUUGGCCAAACGGGAAAUGGAGAUUUAGGAAUGGAAUUGAGCAAAAUAAAAGAAAGAUAUACCUUUAAAGAUUGCUAGAUACCUUUGUUUUUUCUCGAGACUUUGAACCUUAAAACUGGAGAAGACAAGAAACCAGAGAAGGGGAGAUGCGAGAACUGAGAUAGAGAGAAAACCUGGAGGAGGGCGGCGGCUGGGUUUGACUUGGCCUUUAGAGUUAGAAGAAAAGUUUAUAUUUAUACUGUUUUUCUUUCAGUGGUGGUUUUCUUGCUCACCCCUAAUUACCAUGUCGUGGAACAAAUUAGGAUAAGAGUUGUAUUGAUCUCAAAUAAGCUGAUGCCGUCGUACCAGAGAGCUCAUGAAGAAAAAAAUUGAGGAGUUCCAGUGAAGAUGAUACGCAGAAUAAUCUUGAAUUUAGAACAGUACUAGUUGGCAAAGAAGGAACAAAACUGAAAUGCAUGGUAAAUGAUUUAAAAUUGUGAGAAAGAAAUCGGGAUUCAAUGAUUUUGUUUUGAAUUUGAUGUUCUUAAUUCCUUUCUUCUUCCCCCGUGUCUCCAACCCAACGGUGUCUUGUUUCUGAGUAUGAAAGCAGGAUUCAAUGAUUUUGCUUUGAAUUUGCUGUAAUCAAAGCAAAAGAGGAACUGCUGGCUUGCCCUGAAACUAAGAAACUAAAACACGACAGCAUUUUGGAGAAUGGUGAAGCUGUUUGUGUGAAAUAGGUUAAGACUCAUUGUCCAGUGAGGACUUCAACAUUUGGCAAAUGAAUAUCACUUCGAGGAUAGAACAGAUACGAGGAAUAAAGCUAAAAACCGCAACUUUGCUUGACUUUUUCAUAUCUUCAAUCAUUUUUUCUUGGAACUCCACUAACAAUUGAAAAUGGCCAAAAUGCAUGAAUGAGGCCUUGAUACUGUGUUUGUCUCAUCUCUUUGUCGAUGCUUUAUUCUUGUCUGUACAUGUGAUUUAACAGGUAGACUAAAGCUCCUUUCUCCAAUGUAUUCCAUUCCUUAAGAUGCCAUUGAAGUCUUCCAUUCAUUUAUGAUUCCUUCUUCAUAUUCCUUAAUCAAUGGUGUUAGAUAUUGUUCUCAGCUUUUCUUACGAUGGUUAUUGACAAUUUAUCAUAAGGAGAUCUAAUGGCUGAAAAGCAAGUAACCAAGGAUGGAUAAUUAUUCUACACGCUACUAUAAAUUGAUCUAAAGGUCUUCAGACAGUAACCCUUUCCCCGAUUUCUUCUGUUCAUCUUUUACGACCACUAAUCAUUGCAUGCCUUGCUAGUUGUAUGAUCAAACAAUUGCUGGCCAGGUUACGUACUUUCUUGUGAUCCUUUUGAGUAUUCUCUUUCGCAAUCACUUGAACAUAUUGCUGGCCAUGCCGUUUCUCUUCGAGUUCAGAGAUCUCAGAUUAGAUUCUUCCAAUUUAACUUUCUUUUGCUUUUGGGUUUAUCUUUUAUGACUUCUCAUUGCUGCGUGACAUAUUUCUUGUGGAAUCUUUAAGUGUUGUGUGCAUUAGCAGAAAAUAAAAGGAAAAAAAUAAUCUUGACACGAUCCCAACGAAGAAGAGUUGAUUGCAAGAUUGUGGUCUGGGAAAAAAACUGAUUUCUUAAGCAAUAACGAUCUCAAAUUAACUUGCCUAAUUAUUGUAAUGCUAUCCGAUUGUAAUUCGCUGUGGUGAAGCUAUGCUUUCAUGCAUCAAAUUUUAUGCCAUUUGAUCACAGAGCAUACCGCUUGAUAGGCUAUGAACUCUAGAUUAAUAAAGUUCAGCAAUAUUCUUGCUCUGGUAGUCUAGGUCUACUUUAGCCAUGGAGACAAUAUAGUUGUGAAGUAAAUGAUUAGAAAGAUGAGAGAAGCAGAGUACUACACUAAUUAUAAGACUUCAUUAAAACCACACCAGAGGCCACAGACAUGGCCAAUACAUAACAAUGAAGAAGACACAAAGAUAAAGACACUCACGGACACUUUUGUUUGUUCACUCCACACCCACAAGUACAGAAGAACACAGAUUAUUUAUCAGAAAUUACAUUAUUAAUCCACUCCCAAUCCCACAUCAAACAUGAUAGUUGAUGUGCUUGCUUAAUGACCGCAUGUGCAGGUAGUGCAAGUGCAGCCAGUACCGCAGUUGCACUUGCCAUCGUUCUCAGCUGCUGGCACCUCCAUGACUACGGAGGAGACAUAGCUGCAAAAAGAAUUAGACUCCAUUGUAUUAGCAUCGUGUUCCCAUUUCCUUCAUUAUCAAUCUUAACUGACGAACCAAAAAUGUUUAGGAAUAAAGCAAUAUAUAUUAUUCAUUCUGCUUAUUAAUCAUCAGUGCAUGCUGAAGCUUCAAUCAUGUCUCUCAACGCUAAUUAAGACUACGACAACAGGACUUUAAAGAUAGAGAUGCGAAAGUUACUUCUUCUCAGUCUCGACGAUGCCAG
RNAcentral lists this long non-coding RNA (61732 nucleotides) under Populus trichocarpa (black cottonwood). RNAcentral's name for it is "long non-coding RNA (PTRI_LNC000409)". Lineage: Eukaryota; Viridiplantae; Streptophyta; Magnoliopsida; Malpighiales; Salicaceae. The record is from RNAcentral.